UUCAGUACUCCAUGCAUGUACCGCAAGUUUGAUAUGAUGGAGAAUUUUUUUUUUAUAGUGUCAAAGUUGGGAUUUUGGGAACCGGCCCUCGUCGUUUAUCCGAGUCACUGUCCAAGUGUGCUUUCCGUGUCACUGUAGAGACACGGUGUACACAGCCCCAUGCGUCAAGUCCAACUGGCAAUCCCUGCCCAGUCACCGCCAGGUGGGCCACACCCUCCCACCUUUCUUCCCACCCUGCUAUAAACUACUCCUCCCUAUAAAAAUGUCACGAAAAGCCUGUUGUUGCCGUCCAUUAGCUUCCCCGGCAAAGCAAGAGCCCCGCCGCCCGCCGACGCCGAGCCACCCACCACCCAGCGGCAUCUCCCCGCUUGCUUCCUUCGCCUCCACUCUACUCCAAGAACCCAGCGGCGGAGAUCGGUGGAGGUCGUCAUCACCAGAGCAACCGGCCGUAGAUGCGAGCGGGCGCGCUCCUGCUCCUCCACCGCCACCUCCACGACAGCGCCAUGGACGGCUACGGCCACACCGGCGGCGGCUCCAAGGCCGCGGAUUUCUCCUCCGCGAGGGGUCCCGCGGGGUUCCCGCCGCCUUUGCCGCCGGAGAAGCGGCGCGGGGCGGCGCUGGCGAGGCGCGGGAGCGUCGGGGCCGCCAGCGGCCCGGCGGGCAUCGGGGGAAGCUACCUGGGCGCGGAGGCGGCGGCGCUGCUGGCGUGCGUGACGGCCACGCUGCUGGUGCUGCCGCUGCUGCUGCCCCCGCUCCCGCCGCCGCCGCCGCUCUUCCUGCUCGUGCCCGUCGCCAUCUUCGCCGUCCUGGUCCUGCUCGUGCUCGUCCCCUCCGACGCCAGGGGCGCCGCCAGCACCGCUACGCCCUACUCCUCCUCCUAUAGUUAGCUACCUUAUUAGAUUGGGCGCCCGGCCUUGUCGUCAUGUAAAUGUAAUUAAACGCGGACUCGGUGUGCUCGUCUUGUUCUUCAGAGAUCAAUCCAUGGAGAGGCUUUUGUUUUGCUCGAUUCGAUCAGUCCCGAUUUCGUCGAUGGUUCUUCCCUCUCUGCAUUUGCUUCUGCAAGUACGACGGUGACAAACUGACAACCGUCGAAUUGACUUCAUUCUUGCAAAGUUGCAAUCCAGAAUUCGACCCGGACAUCGAUUCAGAUUUGGAUCCUGAACUCGUAGAGAUCUCUGAUGAUUCCGCCUCCGAGUCCGAGAGCUCUGCAUCAUUGAACUUAGAUGCAGAGCACAGCGACGAUCGAGUGGCAGCUCACGUGCCAGCAGCCAGAUGGGCCAGGGUGAUGUGGGGGCAGAUUCAGUUUCAACUAUCAACUUCCAAGGGAGUCAGAAACUCGUACCAGCGAUAGUCGUCGUGUUCCUCGCGCAGCUUCUAUCCGCGAAACGAGCAGGAUCAUGCAGUUGUUAGGAUUUCCGGGAGUAGUCACUAGCAAGAUCUCAACGAACCUGGACACGAGCUUUCUCCACACGCUACUCUGCACAGAUUUUUUUUUCCCCUUGAAGUGUUGCUGCAGCUAGAAGAAAAGUAAAGUAGUAGCUCGAAAGAUGAUGCGCAUCGAUAGAUUGCGUCACGAGAAUGUUGGAAAAAAUGGGGGCUUGUUCGUCCAUCCAACUAUAUCCAAGAAUCUAGGUGCCUUCCAAAAAGAGAAAUAUUACGGGCCUUGUUAAUGGGUAUCCGGCUCAACACUAGCUACUGUUUCAUACAGGCACGGUUAUGGAUGGGAUGCAUUCCGAGUUUUUCUGUACUAGGCCGCAGAAUACAAAGCCCACACGGCCCUGAGCUUUAAACCAAGCCCACCGCCGACCACCACCCGGCCCACAUGGGUAUUGUCAUUUAUGUAUGGCGGUUGUAGUAGUAGCCCAACUUGCGGCGUAUGCGUGCAAUAAAGCAGGCCGCCCAGCGUGCACGCGAUUGAGCGAAUGGCCCAGCGGGUAGGCCCGAUGCGUGGAAGUAAAAGCGCGCGGCGGUUGGUGGUGGACUGGACGGUGCUCCCAAACCAGACGGAGGAGCCAAUCAUAACUCCCCUGACCAACACUACCCCGUUAUGAUUAUUCGUGUGGACGGCGCCAGGCUCAUGUGCUCGGUUUAGUGCACACUUGGAAAUGAAAUGCAAUUGGCAAGCUCAAGUAUUCGCUGCAUAUUAUGAGACACGUACUGCCGUUUUGUUUUGUUUUUUGUUUUUUUUUUAAAAAUGUUGCCACAUUUCUACAAAUAGCUACGACAAGCAUCGGGCCUAUUCGGCUAGACUUAUAAGUCGGCUGAAAAGCUGAAACGGCUGAUUUGUUGUGAGAGAAAAACACUGUUCGGUGGCUGAUAAGCUGAGAAAAGCAUUGUUAGCUGCAGUACUCCAAUAGUUCAAUACAAACGUCGAGAGAGGGCAGCUUCAGAUCGAGAUACCCUAUGCUUACUACCUCUCUUCUCUCUAUUUAUAUCUAUAUAUCAUUAUCUUUCCAUGCAAUGGUGUUUAUUAUUAUUUGACAUGUUAAUCCAUGUUUUAAGAGCUCUGGUAGGUCUCUUGUUUUUUUUAAGACGAGAUGGAAAUGAACAAAUCCCAGCUGCUGUAAAGAUAUCUCCAGUUUAUGCUUAGCUUUCAUAGUUUUCAUAGUAGAAGACCAUGAUCUUUUUGAACCACAAUGUCGAUUAAAUUUACACCACUUGAAAAAAAUACUAAACCUAGAUGUGCACUAAUAAGCAGUCCGUAUGGUUGUACCUCAAAAUCAAGUUUAUUUUCUGGAGAAAAAGAGGCAUUUGUUAUUGUGGUUACUAUUUAUUUAUAUUCAUAGUCCUUCCCUCUAUCAAAAUGAUGUUUCAAAGUUUGGCUAACUAUCUACCUUAUGAAUAAUUAUGAUCGUUGACAGAUCGAUCAUCAUAUGAAGAAUGGCACGUGCGCUGUCAUGUACUCCCUCCGUCCCAAAUUAUAGGUCGUUUUGACUUUAUUAGAUUCAUAGACUUUGUUAUGCACUUAGAUAUACCCUAUGUCUAGAUGCAUAAUAAUAUCUAUGUAUCUAGAAAAGUCAAAACGACCUAUAAUUUGGAACGGAGGGAGUACAGUUCUUCUUGUUGUAGUUAAUACUAUAAUGCUUUGGUUCCAAGCAUUGAGUAAAUCCACAUUAUUCCACAACAUUUAUUAAGAACUAUGUUUAUAAACUAAUAACUAGACUUUUCUGAUUUCAGAACUCUGUUUAUGAACCUAUAUACACAUAAGUAUAUAUCAUAAUGCAUAAGGGCUUUCACUUUAAGAUCCUACAGUGCACAUUUAUAAACCCCAAUACAUACGUCUUCAUCAUUUCAUGUAACCAUAAAAGCCGUAAAUGAAUGCUGGAAACAAUAAAUAAAGUGAAAAUGAUUGGAACAUAUAUAUACAUAUAUACGCCUAGCUAAAGACCAGAUGACCAAAUAAUAUUUAUUCCAUUUCUAGUCGAUUCAUAUGCUACAAAGGUCUGAAUUUUCAAAUAGAAAUUGACAUAUCAUUACACCCUCUAUUCAUGUGAUGAACUGAAUAAUAGAGGAACAUUGCAUGGGACUAGAACUGCCUCAUCCUACUCCAUUACACCUUAACCCAUGUCCCAGCCCAAAUAAUUAAGUCUCUACACAUGCAUAUACAUCCGUAUUCAUAUAUAGAAUACGUGCUACUAAGCACGCAUACAGGCAUGAGAAUGCUAGCUUAAUUCUUGCCCUAGAUCAUGCCUGCAUCAUAUGUGUGCGUGCAUGCCCUCGGAAAGUCACUUGAAGUUUGUGCAAACCUUGGGUGAUUCUAGGAGAGGGUUCCAGUCCCAAAUCUUUUCCAUGCUAGGAAAAGGAAGCAAUGGACCUUGUGAUGAUGGCAAGGGCUGGUUAGGGUUUCCCUGGUUACUGUAUGACCCAAUUGCCCUACUCAGCUCAUCUAUGGGAAUGGUUGCCAUUGUAGUGGAGUUUGCAUUAAGCAGGGCGUGUGUGGAAGAAGGCAGCAGCUGUGGGUUGGCGCCCUUCAUGUGGUAGAGUGAUGUACCGUCCUCCUCCGUCGACGUGGUGGAGCUAAGCGAGGCGGUUGACAGGAACGCCAUUGAUGUCUGAGGCGCCAUUGUUGCUGCUGCUCGAGCUGCAGCUGAUGAUGCCAUGAUUGUGCCACUGUAUGGCUUGUUCAUGUGAGCUGAUGAUGAGUGGCCACCGUCGAACAUUGGUGCCAAGCGUGGCGAUGCUGACGUCCGGUGGUGCUUCUUUUCCAUCGAUGCUGCCGCCUUUGAGCCUGAUGAUCUUGUGUUGGUGGUGAGGUGAAAGUUGUCUUCAAUCCCAGGACGUUUAUACACUCGGCAAAGGGAAAUCUCCUGCAUAUAUAAUAUGAAGAUGAAUUGAUCAAGAUUAAUCCAAAAUGAAAUUGGUGUUUGUAAACGCAGACAAGAACAAUUAACGCAUGCAGGAGAGACUACAAGUGUUCUUAUCCAUCCAGUGAUUUGAUCAAACAUAGUACAUACACCUGGUUAUUGAAACAAAGGAAGUUUGCAGCCAGGAAAAAAAGAAGAAGAGAGAUCACAAGUUAUAACAAAACUUUGUUGCGUUAUUGGAAAAAAAAAUUCCAAGGGAAGCAUGUUAUCUUUCAUGUUGCUCUAAAUAAAUAAAGAUAUAUAACGAGUUCAAAGUAUAAUUAAAUUUCCUUUUCAGCUGUGGAUCAUAUAUAUGUUUCAUUGCUUCUAGAGUUCCUACUACUAUUGUUUUAUAAUAACCAUGGAGUACAUGUGUUUUCCCCUUUCGAGUAGUUAGUCAUCCCAGGUUUCCACAUCUUAAAAAGUAAGUUGUAAACUUUUUGCAUAUGAAGGAUGCUGAUGAUGAAUACUUCCAAAAAGGAGGAACAAGCCUUUCCAAAGGAAAAGUGAAGAAAAAGAGUCACCGAUCUGUGAAAAAAUUGGGGAGAACCUUUUUUUUCAAGCUUCCUCCAAGUACUGAAGAAAAAAUUGAGAUGCACCAGCUGCAUGUGAUGCAAAUAGCCUAAUUAACUGUGGAAAAAAAUUGGGAAGGGCAUGCAUACGUAGAUAUCUAAUUCUAAUUAGCUAGGUUGAACCACAACCAUAUGGGGAUCUUAGCUAGAUCUUGCUCAUGCAAUAAUUCUAGGGAGCACCUUUAACACUUUUGCGCAACAGUUUGCCUAUACACAUGAUGCCAGCCGGCGAUCACACGAACAGAAGCUAGCUAGCAAUCAUAUCAACCCAACUUCCAAAAAGUGAGGGGAAUUUUAAGUGGAAGCAUCUUUCAUAGAACACUUUAUGCUUUUCAGGGAUCUCAAAGAAAAUUCAAAAACCAAUCCAAUUAAGGAAAACAAAAAUAUCCAAUGAUAGAUGAACAAAAUUUCUCAACGGAAAAAAGAAACAUCUCUUCACAUAUUAGUAGAUGGAAAUUGCCCAACCUUUUGGUACCGGUCUGCCUCGCCAUGAGGAAGGCGGUACUCGUUCAUGAUCCAGCUGCUCCUGAGACCCUUGGGCGCCUUCCCCACGUAGAACACCAGAGUCUUCUUCAGCCCGAUGGAGCGGUUACCCUCAACGCGCACCAUCCGAUCUGCCCCUGUGGCCUUCCAGUAGCCCGACGGAGUGACCCGGUUCGGGCGGUCGCCGUUGCGGUACUUGCGGUCUCUCGGCACGUAGAAGAACCACUCCUUGUCCCCAAUUGAAGCCAGAGCUGUUGGUUGUUUAAGUAGCGCAUCCAUGAUGCAUAUAUUAGUCACAAAAAAAAGCAAGCAUCGCAUGCAAGAAAAAAAUUUAAAGUAAGCGAAAAAGCUAAAGGCUCACAUGAAAUCAAAACGAGUAAAGGGGGUCACAUGCAUGAAAUCAUGGCAGAUCCCCAUGUUUACUUAUUGGUGCUAGCUUAGCAGGAGCUAGCUGGUAGCCGUCGUUCACAUGCGUUGCUUACCGGGGAGAUCCCACGGGUCGUAGCGGUAGAGGUCGACGAGGUUGAUGAGCUCGAUGUUGAAGCGCUUGCCCUCCACCCUCCGGCGGAGGUAGAAGUCGAUGAGCUCCUCCUCCGUCGGGUGGAAGCGGAAGCCCGGCAUCACCAUGUCGUGCGCCUGCUGCUGUCCAUCGUCGCCGCCGCCUGCGCCGCCGUGGUGUUGGUGUUGGUGGUGAUCUCCUCCCAUGGUCGACGGCGGCCUCGAGUCAUUACCUCCCCUCCCGGCAGCCAGCCUUGCUUUAUAGUAGAAGCAGGAGAAAGAUGAGGAGGAGGAGGAGGAGGAGGACUAGUACAAGACGACGGCCAGCCCUAACUACACCCACACGCCACACAGAGAGGCAGAUGGAGACCCAACUAGACAAGGGGACGGGGCGGCCGGCCUAUACCGCUGCGGGGAGUGGUGUGGUCUCCUUCGGCCCUUGGACGAAUGAGGGUGAUUGGUGCAAGUGGUGGUACCAUUGGUGUGGUGAAGUGAAGGGCCGGCUACGGGGAGGGAGAGAGAUAAGAAAAGAUUAGAUGUCCACCUAAUUAAAAUUUAUUAAUUUAGACAGCACCAAUUAAGAUGAGGAUCUGUCGAUAUGUGCCGGUAUUAAUGGCUGUUACUUUUAGCUUAGCUAGCUAGGUACAUACCACGCCCAAGAGUAUGAGAGAGAGAGAGAGAGAGAUCACUGUGCCGUCUUGUAAAGUAGCCCUGGUAAAAAAGAGAGAACGAUGUCGUUAGACUGCUAGGAGGUUCUUACACUGUAGUAGCAGUAGCUGCAUGCUAGCUACAGUAGGAACUGGAAGAGGGGACCUCUCCAACGAAACCUCAGCGGUGGCCUAUAAAUUUGAGCAGUGCUGUGGUGCAGCUGAUCAGCCUUCCUAUAUAAUGGCAUGUCCGGUUCAGCUAUAAAAAUGUUUCUACUGUUUGAGCGUGUAGCUAGAAGGAAGCCAGCUAGCUCAAUCGACUGCACAUCGGCGGAGUGGGACAGUGGCUGUGUUGCAUGUGUGAGAUAGAUUCUCGUAGCAAUUUUCCUGCUCAUACAGAAGCACCAAAUUCACAUAUUUAUCUUGAAAAAUCUCUCAUAAAGGAAACAUAUUUUCAGUCCCAAAAAGAUCAUCUUCUUCACUGUUCAUCUUUAAAAGGCCCUGCAUAUGCAUUUCACAAGUUAUUACAGGUGAAAAUUCAAACCGUUUCACUCAAAUGUUGUGUCUUUGUAUCUUGUGGUACCGAAAAAAAUUCAAUAAAUGUCAAAGAAAUCUGACAAAUAUAUACAAAUACGAUAGGUGCAGCAAAAUUAAAUAACUAAUCAAGAGUAAAUAGCAAAGUUUUGGAUAUUAAAAAAAUUCUAUGCCAAUAAAGAGGUGCACUCGACCGGUGCAAGUUGUCCUCUUGUAUAUUCACGCGUGCAUGUAAGCUAUAUUGGAAUUUGGUCUGCAGGUAAGUACGUGUCUUGGCCUCGUGCUAGCUCCUCCUUUUAUGCUUCAGCCGGCCGGCCGGCGUCCGACGACUCAAAUCAUCUCAUGCUGGCCCAAUUAAUCCUUCAGCUGUUCCUGUCUACCUCAAUAGAUUUACACUUCUUGAAAAAACUAAACCUAGAUGUGCACUAAUAAGCAGUCCUUCUGAUUUGAUUGAUCGCCCCCAGCUAUGAUCUUCUCCAUGAAUUAUGUAUGGGUGCGUACGUGAUAUAUACGAGAGAUUUUACGGUGCUUAGAAAUCUUAAGAGCUGUCUAUCGAUCCAGAUCGGAUGGUUAAAAAGUAGAAGGAACCUAUUACCUAGCAUUGGUGGGUCAGGAACUAUUUGUAAAAAUAGAGCAAAGGAUAUAUCUGUAUUUUCAUGACUCCCAGCGCCGUCGCAUCACCCCCGGCGGACACGCUUACGCGUUCACGCUGCCCAGCCGACGCAUCCCACCGCGUCCUCCUCCUCCAACCCUAGGAUCUUGCGGAGCGUGAGCAGGUCUCGGAUGCAGCGCGCGGACGACGUCGAGGCGGAGCCGCCGCCGUCGGAGGAGGCCUCGGCGGCGGCGUCGAGGCCGGCGUUGCCAAGGACAGCGUACAUGGUGCCUCGAGAGUCGGCGAGGAGGCUGCAGUCAUUAUAAUUCUAAUUCUACCAAAUAACCAGACAUUGACUUGUAUAAUCAGCAGUCUCUUAGAUCGAUUACAAAAAAAGCAGUCUCUUAGAUACUCUACAAGGGAUGUAUAAGUGAAAAUGGUUUAAUUUAACUGGAUAUACGUACAAUCAAUCCGAACAAUUUUUAAUAAUGAGUGGCCCACAGUUUUGAUGCUUCCCACUAUUUUUCCUUGAAUGACCGACUGUUUUUCUAGUGUAAUUUGCUUCUUUCCUAACAGUUUUAUCAAAUCCCCCACAAUGUAAUCCCCCACAAACUCAUUUCUCACGGUUAUGGUAUCUAGUUAUUCAAAUGUGCUAAAAACCGUUGGCCAUUUGUAAAGACACUGUUGGAAAAAGUAGUAUUCUUGUAGUGCUCGCAAGAGUUUUUAUUUUUGUAGGAGGGCAAUUAAGAGUUGUAAGGGAUGUAAUCGCCACCUCUAAUCCUCUCCGAUUUCCACCAAACUAACAAAAGUCCUUGAAGGGAAGAAAUUCUUCGCUCUGGGAAGAAAUUCUUUUUGCAAGCAAACAUGAGAGUAUUGUUCCAAUAACAAUAUUAAGCACAUACAGAAAAUAAUCUUUACUCCAGGAACAGCAUCAAGACCCGCACCAUUUCAAAUACUAGGUGAAAUUAAUUGAGGAGCUAGCAUUUGACCAUAUUUUUGAAAAUUUCAACACUUCACAUUUUUGCCCGAUAUGUACACCCUUAUAUAUCUACACACACACACACAUGCAGUAGUUAGGGUUUGGGUAUGCAUAAUUUUGCCUGUUUAUGGACACAAGUCGGCAUUUAUACCUAGGAUGUCCUUGUGGGGAAGUCUUGCCAUGCAUGCCGGUAAUUUAAGGCAUGUGCCGCUGUUUGCUCCAGCUAGUGCACCGUAGCACAAUUAACAAGAGUACAACACCUGUCAGUGUGUAGUAGCAGUGUCCUUGCGAGGGUUUUGGGGGAGGUUAGAACAUCUCCAUAAUCUCUGUUGUACGAGCAUGCAUCACUGUGAUCAGUCAAGGGAUACCCGUGACUUGUACUCAUGCGCAUCUGUUUGUCGGUCUGUGCGGCUGCAUCCGUUGUGCAUCGGCAAGGGAAGAAUUUCAGUAGCAUAUGUGCAACUGUGUGCAAAAAAAUGCUGUCUAGCUAGAGAGAUGAAUAUCAACUUACUAUAUCAUGAGUCGGACGUAUACUUUUCGAAUAGAUAGAGAUUGCAAAAGCCUAUUGCUACACAAAGUUUGGUACAACCCCACCCCAGGGGCUUUUUGAUAAUGCUCAUCAGCCAUGAGCUGAUACAGUGCGUCCAUCCAUAUCGAUUUUCCAUUCGCGCACUCUCACAAUGCAAAUGCGAUCUUACAAUUCGAUCGAUAUAAAGUUCCUUAGGUAGCUAAAGGAUCAUCCCUUGAUGUCGGAAUAAGGAAUUGUCGUUAUUCAUGCAAUCCUGGAUGGGUAGUUUUCAAAGCACAUGCAUCUUAACAUGAUCAUGAGAUCGAUGAAUAGUUCCGUCGUCACUAGUUGGAUCUUUUUUUUCAACCCCCUCACUUUUUUCUCAAUUGUCGUAUCAAUAUAUAAUUCCCCACACUAAGAGGUGUAAAGGAGUAGUAAAAAUAAUGGAAGGUAAACGGAGUGCGCCUAGAUUAGGAAUGUAUGUUGACAUCCUAUAUAUGUUGACUAUUACAGUCCAAUCAGAUGUCUAGAAACGUAUGUAAAUGACAACUGGACAAGAAAAAGGAAGAAGAACAGGAAGCCCCUCAUUCAAAUUAAAUAGAUGCAUGAAUGAUCAUCUCUUGAACUAUAUAUUCAUGUACAAUUCUACGGUCUUCCGAUUAUUGAUAGGGACUACAUUCUUGUUUAGUUUUACGCCAAACAUGGGUCUAAAUGAAAGACAGUUCUUCUAUAAACUUUUGGAGGAUUCCCUACCUUACAUCAGGCUUCCUGAAAGAACCAAUAAUCAUGAACAUAUUUUCAUGAUAAGAGCUUCCCUUUAACCUACCAGCUAUAGGCUCUUUAUUUGUCUCUCUUUGUCAAGCUAACAUUUUCUUUUGACUUAUUAAUACCUUGUGCUAGCACAUAGAUUAUGUCAUCUAAGAUUAAUAAAACCAUGAGACAAAAAUGUUUCCUUCCCAACAGUCAGACCGUUUCCAAAAUAUGUUGGCAUCAAAGCUAAAGUCAAGUAAUGUAGUAUAAUAUGUUCGAUCUCAACAACGAUACUAUCAUAGGGUAUAUAUGUAGCUGUGGUAUCUUUCAUACUACUUAUGUAUUCACCUUAAAGUUGUUCUUUGUUACAGCUAUAUGAAGGCUAGAUGCAUGCAUUCUUUUUUUUUAAGUAAUAGGUCUUCAUAACUGUACUUUCUUAAAACAGGGGGAAUAUAUAUAGCUGAUUUGCAAGCAUAUAAAGUUGCAAAAUUAAAAAAAAAUCAGUUCACCACAGGAAAAUAGCACAUAACCCGCAUUGUUGAUCGAGCAAGUUGCAUACGAAUCACAAGCUAGAUCGAAGGCAUUAAUGGACGAUAAAUUCUUGUUCCUUCUUCCACAUGAUGCACCUUUCAAAUUGAAUUCGUCAAGCGGACUCCAUACGGCAAGAACAGUCGCCACUCGGUUAUGAUAUGCUAGGAAACACGUAUGCGAAAAAAAUAAAUGGGUGGCGUAGAUUUACUAGAUCUCUAUAGAUUGUUUAGCAAAUAUCCAGAAAAAAAUUUGAUCCUUGGAAAUUUAAUUGAUUUGUUUGACAAACCAUAAAUGUGUAUGAAAAGUUCAAUGAAUGUGCCAAUACUUUGACUGAUUGAAUAAGAUGGCAUAGUUAUCUUCAUUUACCUGUGAUUGAUCGACAUUAGUUACCUAGCAAUUGCACCGUAAAAUCGAUCUGUGGAUAACUGUUAGCCUUACUUGGUUAUCUUCUCUCUCUUUUUUUUUACAAAAUUGUGGGGAUCAAUUCAAGAAAAUAACCAGAAAUGAUAUGAUCAUGACAAAAAUAUAUAGGAGGUAGCAUGUAUGGACCAGAUUUAGCAAUUCUUUAUCUGCAGAUAAUUUUAUAUGUACUAGUCAUCAGAAAUAUGUCGUCAUCUUUGAUGUUUCGUAAUUCAUAAUUGUAUGUGUGUAAAAAGAAGCAAUUAGCUAAGAAAAGUGUACUACUCCUACAACACUUGAUAAUUGCAGCUUAAUUGUACGCAAGGAAAGUGUGCAGUCAUGCAUGAGCAGUUUCUCCAUUUGAUGUGUACAAGUAUCAAACUACGUUCGCGCCUAACUUUGUUUUCUGCACAUCUUCCAGCUUCCACCACUGCACCGCACCAUGAUUCCAGCUCUUACUAGCUUGGAAAAGCAUCAUCUGUAAUACCUGCAGAAAAUUAAAGAGACGUGGCAUUGUGUUGCGUUCUUCUUUUUACAUGCCAGAUUGCAGCAUGAAAUGAAGAAGCCAUGCACCAGAGGUCGCCGACGAUGGAAUACACAGGAGCAGCGGCUGGCCGGCCGAUCAGUCGGUGGGGGCAAUUUAGUGAGUUCGGUGAACGGGUCCCACAUGCAAAGCAAGCAUAGGAGGGAGACGCCUGCUUGCUUUUAAUGCGGCACCGCAUGGCGCAUGGAAGAACCAAGCAGGGAUGCCCUAGCGAUCAGGAAGGCUGUUCCUAUUGGUCCCCCAUUGAUGGAUCGUCCCCAGUCUCAUCGCGCAUCCAUCUCUCACUGUCACCUCUUCUUCUUCCUUUUUUUCUCAGUUCUUCUCCCAUCCGCUGGAGGUUGAUCCAGUCUAAGCGUGGUCUUAGCAGCUUGUUAGGACCUGGCCAGCCAAUUGACCUUGUACUGUAUUACCUUGUGAAUAAAUUUCACCUUUUGUAAGUUCCAGAUGUUACGAGUCGUAGGAGCCAAAUAAAAGAGAGCAACCGUACCGUAGUCAACAGAGAGAUUUGAAGAAAACAGCUAGCCUCCACCCGUACCCAGCAGUAGUAGAAGCUAGCAAUGAGCUAGAAUAUGAGAACGAUCCACUAGAGAACAGGUACAGUGCUGCUUCAGUUGUGCAUGGCACAUGGUUAGUUUAGCGUGCAUGUAAAGAUCAAAUGAAAUGGUGCACUGAAUUUGUGCGUCCCAUGCAUGAGGAAGAGACUCUGACAUAUAUUCCCUAGCUUCGUAUAGAAGAAAAUCGAGGAAGAGCACUCUCAUUUGGUGGUACAGUUGCUCAAUAGAUGGAAGAGACGGCAAUAUAUUUAAAAAAAGCAUCUUGAUGCUAAAUAACUGUGGUAACUCCUAGUCCAAAUUAUGGCACAAUCGAUUUAGAGUAAAACACGACAUAUAAGAAUGGACAUAUCAAUUCUAGUAAGCCGACUACAUUAUUGUCUGAAACUAUUCAAGUACUACAACCAUUCUAGUGCGUUGGAUGGGCUGGCCACAGAAUAAGCUAUUCUAUGGCCGACCAUAGAGUAUACUCCACACACACACAUAUAUAUUCAGGAGGAGACUUGGAUUAUAUUCAGGGUUCUGUUAGGCUGUUGGGAUAACCACACUACGACUGCUUGUCACUGAUAGUGGAAGGACAUUAAUUUCAACAAGCACCAAAAUCAGCCUAAGAUCGUCGCAACAUAAUCAAAGAAGGAAACAUAUGCAUCAUAGAGAUAAUCACAACAACAACACAUGCAUUGACCAUAAGCACCAAUUUCAACGUAGAAACCCCAAAAUCGCGGUAAAACCCACAGGACCAAGCAGCCACCCAAAUAUCCAGAUAGCACUACAAGGUCAUAUACAUCAGUACUUUACCAUCUUAGACAACAACAUAAAUAUUUGGGGGCAAACAAUCGAUUAAAGGCAACAGUAUUGCGGAUCUGAAGCCUCACGCGACGCUGAGAACGGAUCUUUCUAACUUUCUUCCAAGAUCUUAUCCACAAUCAACUUCUUCUUCCUAUCUUCUCCCUCUUUCUCUCCGUUUCAAGGGGAUUUUUCCUUUUCUUGAACCCAAUUACAACGUAUGUCAAAGUUGUUGUUGGCAUGCUCAUUAGAAACUCAAUACUUAAGAUUUCUUAAUAUGGGCUGCAACUCACUUGCAAAUCUGGGGGGCAGGGGGGCUAGAGGGAGGCUGGGGUGGUGCUCGGUGAGUGGGUGUGGCGUGGGGCUAAAAAAAAGAGGUAAAGAAAAAAUACUAUCUGAUGGAUCCAAUGCUUAGGGAUCAUAUCGACUGUAUCCGAUUAUUUUUCUCAACCAAGGAAGAUAUGUGCUUCACUAAAAAGUUAACACAUUGUGAGUUGGACUAUUGGAGUAGGUUUUUCGAUGGGGCUGUGUAGAGCCCACUCGAGUAGUAUUUUUUGCCUAAUUCACGCUCGAAUUUAUAGCCAUCCAUACAUUCGAUCCAAUGGUGCAGAUUUAUCCCUUUCCUCAGCACUAUCUUCUCCAAGGCACACGUGUGUAGCUCGCCUACCGCCACCGAGCAACUUCCCUACACCUUCCUCGACACCGGAGAUCGACUCUGGUGGUGAGCCCCAGCCCCCCUCCGUUGAUCGUGGUAUCACAUUUUCCAACUUUAGUAAGCUUCUAAGUUCGUUCCCCAUUGAAAACCCUAACCUCUGAGCUCACCAAACCUCUUUAGAGAUAAAUAAGAUGAGUUGAGUAGCAUGAAGAGAAAAUUCGGAUGUCAGGGACACCAAAAUGCUCGGCCGGGUAUGAGAUUUAGCUUUUCACCUUUUCGUUCGAUCAUCCGGUCACCACCGACGACCUUGAUCACGAACGAACUGGCCGCGGUCGCGACGCGCUUGACAGGCCGACCGGCCGGUCAAGCUGGUGAUCGCUGGAGAGUCCAUCAAGUGUGGCGGUCCAGUUGGUGCACGCGCCGCGCCGCUGCCACGCGUGCCUAGCUAUAGCUCGCCUCGUUUACUAGCUCCGUCAUUUCUUUUUUACUCUGCAUGCGCGGCCUGCAGCAGCUGCCGCCGUCCGCUUAGAGCAGGCCCACAUACGCCAAGCACGUCAGCACUGCUGCUGACAUGGUAGAGAGAGGGUAGGAGAGUGAAGGGGGCGCUACAUCCGUCGAUCAGCGCAACGAGUUCCGAUGCAGGUCAUGGGUCCCGUGCGUGUGCAUGCAAGGAUGGUUGUGAGAGAGAUGACCGGUGGGUGGGAUUGGUGGUGGGCCAGGGAAAGAUUAAAAAAUUUAAUGUGAUGUACCAAGAAACAAGUUGUUGUAUACAUGCUUGUCUACAUAAACUGAUGUGUCAAUUCUUAGAGAUAAGUGCUUGUCUCUUUUAUUGGUCUUGCUCUUAAUUGCAUUGCGUGCUGUCAACCUACGUGUACGACCUUGCUAGCAAAUAGAAUGCUUUGAAUAGUAUAUACUACUGUUAUACGAUCCCCAUAUGAACAAUGCGCGUGUGUCGACUGCAGGGAAUCCAACAUUAAAGGAGGUGUUUGGUUCGUGAAGAGGUAAAGUAAUCAAUUUACAGGCGUUAAGCGAUACCGUUACGUAUGUUUGUUUCAACCUCCUCCGUAAUUUAAUUACCCGAAAUCAGAUAUCGGCCCAAUUACAGUCCCAUUACGUCCCUCCCUACCCGGUAUCACAUCGCAAUACCGCUCACCGAUGCCGCCCCUUUCUUUUCCCCUUAUGUUGUCCCUCUCUUUUCCCCAGACGCUGCUCCUCCGCCCGUGCGCUGCCCUUGCCACUCCUCCGCGCGAGCAGCUUCGCUGGCGACCACACGCACCAUGGUGAGCCCUUGCUCCUUCCCCCUCUCACUCCCUCUCUUCCUCGUCCACAUACCCAUAGAAGUUUCUCUCAUAACCCUAACCCUAGCCUCGGUUCUUUUUCAAAGGCUGUAGAAAGAUCCGAGGGAAAGAAAACACAAGGACGGGAGGAGGAGGAGAAGCUCAUCCGCCAUCCGUUUUACUGACGGGAAGAUCAACGUGCACCACCAAUACUCCUCCCUUGGUGAGUUUUGCCUAUCUUCCUCCUCAUGUAAGAUAUCCUCCUCUUUCUUCGAUGACUCUGAAUUCCCCUUGUUUGAUCUAGUUCUGUGUCGAUCGAUUUCUUGAAUCAAUGUAUUGUUGAUGAUGUGGUUGAUAACUCGAGAUGGAUCUAUGGAUUGUAUGUUCUUUACAAUUAAUUCUGAUUUUUUUUUGCUUCUGUUCAUGAAUACAGUGUGCAGUUAAUCACUUCUUGUCCUUGACUUGAAUCAGAUUCCUAAUUUUGCAUCACUGCUCCAAUUAUAGAUGUUAAUUUGCAAUCUAGUACAACUGAACUCGUAUACUUGUGUGUCAAGAUACUUCAUAAUAGAGGAAUAGAUCUUUGUUGGUAAAUUAGAUGUUAGGUUGUUCUUUUUUCUUUUUCUCAUCGGAGCAGAUACGACAAAAGCUAAGCUAGCGGUGGACGUCAAGUCAACGGAAGGUGCCAAGUCGAAAGAGGCAGCAGGAUUGAAAUCUGUCGGCAUGGUCCCGAAGCGAAGCUGGAUCGGGUUGGCGAGGUAGUCCUUCAUGCUCUCACGGAAGACAACGUCGGGGCGGGAUGCCAUCAUGCCUACUGGGGAGGAUCCCACAAUCACCCCUACAUGGCGCACCAACUGUCAGAUUUAUAAGCCCGGUAGUCCACCAGGAGGUUACCCAAGUGGUUGAUUUGUAGGUGGAGGUGAUUGUGAAACCAAGAACUCGAAGGUGAUCGCGAGAAUACAAGGGACACAAGGGUUUUAGACAAGUUCGGACCUUUGGAGAGUAAUACUGUAACACCUGCCAUUUUAGUCAUCAAAGUGACUUUGAAGAAUUGAAAGCAAUUCGAGAAGAAAAGAAAAAGGAAUUGGCCGAAAAUCAAAUUCGGGGCAAAUUUGACCGAAAUUUGAAUUUUGAAUUUGAAAUUCAGAAAAAUUCGGCAAAAAUAUGGAAUAAAGGUGAAAGAGUGAUUAGAACUCAAGGAUCCAAAUUUUGGACAAGAAUUGGUUCUAAUACUUCAAAAGGAUCAAAGAAAAGAAAUGGAAAUUCAAAUGUACUGUUCACCAUCCGGCAAUAGGAAUUCAGAACAAAAAAACAGCACUAGAGUCCAUUUUGGAAAUUCAUUUCUGCUGAAUUUUUCAAAUAAGUGGAUCUAAACAACUAUACCAUGUUAAAGUAUGGACUUUGGACUCCUAGAUUUGGGUGUUGUUGAUCAGGAAUAGCAGAGGGAACUAUUUCAAAUGAGGGCUUAAAGUCAGCAUCUCGUCACUGUAAUUGCAUCACUGAAAAUGACUAAGUCUGAAACAGCAGUGUGUGGCCAACUUUGAAAUGGAUUUCAGAGGAAUGUAGAUCAAAAGAGGUAGGUGUUUUUGGGCAAAAUGGAAACCUUGAAGAUGGUAGAACACAAUUGGGUAGAAGUUGGACUACAGAAAGAGAAUUUGGACCACCGAAAUGAUUCACUAAGUCGGGCAAAUAACCACCUCGAGUAACUGACGAACUGAAUACCGGUUUCAAUGAAGUUCAGACAAACACAAGAAACAAUUCAAAAUUCGACUAUGGUUUGAUAUUUAUCUCGGGUCAGAGCUAAAAUAAAAUUUGAAGAGUUCAAGUUUAUCUACAACUUCGGUUAAGACACAUGUGUACCGUUGGAUUGAAAAUCAACCGCAAUUUAGCUCUGAAGUUCGGGCGUCAGAAGAAAAGGAGGGAAACGAUGACAGAGCCGAGCUCGACGUGUCGCCGCCGCCGCUCUCGGUCGCUCGCUAGCGCAACGGCUACGCCACCUCCUUACCACGCAAGCCUAUGAAUAGGCCACGGUGUCGCCCAUGCGUGCGGUAAGCCGUUCAUAUAUUUACCGUUCCCGCGCCGCCGUUUCUACCGCUGCCUUUUACCGCCGCCAGCGCCUCUGUCCAAGCCACCGCCGCCGAGCAAAUUCCACCACCACCACACCACAGCUCCCGUCGAUUCCCUCCGUCCACACCUUCGCCCACACCCCACCAGCAACCCUAGCAGCUUGUUGUCCGGCUUCUCCGCCGGCACGCCAUAAACCGCCGCCGUUUCUGUCCGCCGUCGCCGCGCCUCCCGCUCACGGUGAGCACCCCCUUGCGCUUGUUCUCUUCCUUCUUGGGUAGUCUUAGGCAGGUCCUUAGGAUACUAGGAUGGUGUAGCCAUAGUCGUUGGGGUAGUUUGCGCCGUUGUCGUGCGUAGCUGCGACCGGCCGUAGGUGCCGCCGCCCGCCGCCGUGGAGGGGAUGGCUCCGGCCAUCUCCCGAGGAGCUGUUGCCGCGCGCGGGUGCGCGAAGGUAUAGAGGUGCUGUCCUGACCUAGUCCCGCCGCCGGUAGGGCGCCGGCCGGCGAGUCGCGCCGCCCCCUGUCGCGCGCGCGCGUUUUGGCGGGAGGAGGAAGAAGCGUCUGGAGCCUUGGGCCCGCGCGUCAGUGGGAAAGGAGAGGAGGAAGAGAAGGCCGGGUGCGCGGGCGUCUGUUGGGCCGGCACUUCGGAGGCCCAAGAAGCCGGGGGCGGACGGCCGUGUGAGAAAAGGGGCCGGAGGCCAGGAAGGAAAAGCAGGCCGCGCUGCGGGAAAAGAGAAAAAGAAAAGAGGGCCGUUGGGCCGUCGCGGGUGAUAAGAGGAGAAAGGAAGAAAGGAAUCAGCCCAGUAGGGCCCGUCCGGGAGAGAGAAGGCCGGCGGGUAAAAAGGAAUAGGAGAAGGAGUGGGUCCACGCCGUGGGCCCAGUGCAAGUAAGAGGGGGUAGAGUUGAGCCGCGUGAGAAAAGUUACCCGGGGGUAUUUUUCGGGAAAAUUAGAUUUCCUUUAUAGAAUAAUUAGUUUAAAUCCGAAUUUCACCAUUUAAAUCACAGAAAUUUCUAGGAGUGUCCAAAAUUAGUGAAACCAAUUUUGUUAGGCUUGUUUUAUUUUCCUUUAUGCAUUAAAAUUUUUACACCCUAGAAAAAUAAUAAAAAUUUGGGUAUUUAUAUAAUGCCUUUCUUUUAAGGUAAUUAAAUAAAUACUUAAUCUUUAUAAAAUGCAUAAAAUAUGAAAUAACAUUUUCAUAAUUACAAAUUAUUCUCAACUCAUAUGAAAUUAGGUUUUUAAGUUAGAAAAUAAUUAUAACCUUUUCCAAAAAUAAAAGAAAAACCUUAAGUAGGGUUAAGUAAGAAAAUAAAAUUGUGGGCUAAUCUUUUGAGGUUUUUGUGUGUUGGCUUGCAACUUUAUCAUGAUAAAUUAUAUAGUCCUUGUUGGCUUGCAACUUUAUCAUGAAGGAAAGUUGUAUAGUCUUUUAUUCAAAAAUUUGCAUUCCUAACCCCUGCAUGUGUUGUGCUAUAGAUCCCGAAGCACCAGAAGGAGAUUAUUUGGAAUUUUCAAAAAGAUCUUCGGAGUUCGAAGAAGUUUUUGAAUUGGUCCCCUGCGAGGCCAACCCGUCGGACAAUACUAACUUUUUAAGCGAACAAGGCAAGCUCCGGUGCAUUUAUACCUAUCUAUUUUGGAGUUAUUAUUUCAUGUGUCCAAUUAUCGGUUAUUUGCUAUAUGUAUGCACUAAGUCUAGAGUUGCUUGAAACCUAUUCUUGUGUAUGAUCAUGCCUUGUUUUAAGGACAUCUUUGCCACUUGUUCAAACCUUUAGUAGAUAACCCAAGUCUAGAAUUGCUUAGUUGCUUACAUACUUGGUUUACCAACCUUAAGGAAAACUUUUGAGUCAUACAUGUUACUUAUGGAAAGAUAACUUGGAAAUUGGGAAGCGGACAGAAGCUAGAGAUGUAGUUCUGUCUGCUAGAUUAAUUUGGUUAAGGCCCGAUUCGUUGUCUUAACCUUGAUCAAGUGAUAAGCAUCUGAUCACUUACUGGGUAUGGGACCAGUAAAGCCCAGUAGGUUAGUAAACUCUCUGAUCGGGAAUACUUCGUACCCGCGCUUGACGUGCUGGAGAUUGGCAGGGGCGUAGCCUGAAACUCACAUGGUGAUCGGGCCAGACGUGGGGUCCCAUGUGAGGGUGCGUCCCUGGGUCCGGGUAGUCUUAUUCCCAAUCAUUUAUUUUGCUAAUCGAAAGGUCGUUACGUACGACCUGGACAGUCGUAUAAAACUGGUGAUCAGGGUACUCUCCUGCAGGAUGUAAACUGAUCCGGAUCGCCGCAAUUCUCGGUUAUGAAUGCACUUGAUCACUAUUGAGCAUCGUAGUAUAAUUCAUGAAUGACAUAUCUUUCUGAUAAUGUUUGAUGUAUGACUUAAUAUCUAUUGUUGUGUUUACUUUCUUCUCAUCAUUUAGAAUGGUUAGGUAAUAACUUAACCUAAAUAAAAGAUAAAACUAAGGCAUCACUUAUAGCAAGCUUUUUCGGCAAAAAUGUAUCAGCCAAGUACACCAAAAGCUAUCAUAUACUUCCAAAGACUUGCUGAGUACCCCGUACUCAGGGUUAUCCCUUGUGGCUAUCUUUCAGAAGCACCGCAGGAGUCUACCGAAGAGGAAGCCCCGAAGCUCUAGGGUAUUGUUAUGAGUCUCACAAUACCCUUAGAAGAAGUUUUUAACUGCUCAUCUCCUCCUGAAUCAUUUAUGUUUUAAGUCUUAGAACUCCGCCUAACACUGCACUGUUAAGUUUGCUUCAAUCUAUGUUCUGUAAUAACUCGUACCUUUUAUAUGUAUGUAAAAAUGUAAUAUUUGUUGAUGCUAUCCCAUCGCGGAUACUAUCCUGAUGUAUGGCUAUGAGACACAACGUGGAUCUUUCGAGGAGUCCUAGGGACACUCGACAGACGACCGGACUUAUACUGUUUUAAGUGCGUUUCGGAUAAUUGCUGCGUCGGCAGCAAUUAGGCGCAUUUAAACCAGUUUAAGUCGGACGGUUCCGCCACAAAUACCCUACGUCAUGUAUGCUUGAUGGCUUGUAUUGCUUGAGAAUUUCUAUGUCCUCGGGAGGCGUCCCCAGCCACCUUAUAUAGGCUAACAACCUAGGGUUACAUGUCAGUUUGAAUCUAAUCUACUUGGUUGUUACAUGAAAGGCAAUCUGAGUCAGAUUACAAUACUGCAAUAUUUGGGCUGAUUUGAAUCGCCCAGACGAGCCCACUUGUCAGAUCCGGCCAGUAUCCUAGUCGGUGGGGACCCAUAGGGUACCCAUAUCCCUCAUGGUUAAACUAAACAUGCUCGAUAUGGUCAGCUGAGAGCCACUGGUAGUACCAUAGUAUGCUUUGUUUUCGUAUUGUGAGUGAAAUCGGGAUAACGGUAGCUCCCCAUUGGUUAAUGUAAGGAUAGCUCAUGCAUCUUUGUUUGACGGAAUUAAAGUAAGUUACAUUCUCUCUCAGCACUCGGCACUUCAAUAAAAAUAGACAACAUUGCAGACACAUGUUUCCUAUAGUAUUACUCGAAACAGUUUUUCCUAGCCCCGGCUAAAUAGGCACGAGACAUGAUUAGUGAUGUCAGCAAAACAGUUUGCCAUGGUGAGAUUCUGUUUAACUUAUUGAAGGUCAAUGGUGUUACUCGGUUCGGCACAAAGAUAAUCGCUAUUUUCCAAAAAAAAAAACAAUCCUUAAGCCUAGACAAAUAUUCAGUGCAUGCUUUGCAUUCAAGAGCUGAUCCUACGGCAAUGUCAUUCACAAUUCUUUAGCUGAGGCUUCUCAGAGAAGUAGUAAAGAACUAUGAUAUCUGUUCCCGUGACCAGUUGCUUAGUGAUAUGUUUAGUGAUAUGUGUCACUUUGCUAUCUUGUUUCGGAUGUUUAUUUACUACCAUAAUUCAGAUGCUUGCUCUUUCACAAGAAUUCAGUCAAGAUUACAGUUAUAUCAUGCCAAUAUAUUCUAAUAUAUGUAGUUGUAUGUUUGCAAUUUAAGGAUGCUAAUCUUGGGCAGAAAUAUUCAAUCAACUAAUGAUAAUGGAAGUACAUCUUGUUGAACAUUGUUGAUGAAUCGAUAUACCAUUAUUUUCAGAAAAAAAAUAACACCUCAUACCUUAACUUGUCACCAUUUUUGUAGAUGAGAGAAGAAGAUAGAAGGUGGAACUAGAUCGGUAAUCAAGCGAUAACGAAUCUUAAGUUCAAAAGGGUGCUGAUCAUGCUUGCUGUCUUCCAUUUGAAAUGUCUCAUUUUACCUGUCUCCUUGGUUAGCUUUCAGUCUAUGUUGAAUACCUUUUUACAUCAUGAGGCUGCAAAUUUUGUAUUAGUUAAACCUCCUUGUAUUAUAUGCUACAGCAUAUAGAGAUAUGCUAGUUGCUAUGUCUGGUCUCAUGAAUAGUUGUUAAAUUUGAAAUUUAUCUUCCAAUGAGUUGGAAACUAAAUAGUUGUAACGGUAUCUAAUACCGUUACAUUGUCCAAAUAAACAAAUCCUGUAAACAGCGAUCCAUUUACAGUCGCGUUACGUUACCAGUGCGGCAACUAAACACCUGGCAAAACUUCUAUAAAAAAAACAACUUCUCCUCGACGAGGCCUACCGGCCUGCGGGGCGCUGGGUUUUUUCCACCCCGAAAUCCACACUUGUGUACGAAAGGCCCACUCCACUACUGUCCGGCCGCCGAGCCCAUCAUUGACUUCGCGGGGCGCCGGGCUGCCGCGCGCUGCGUAGGUAGAGUAGCAGCAGUUGCCGCAAGACCACCAUCCCUAGCCUCCCACAUGUUGGGCUGGGCCGUCCGUGCGCUGCUCGGCCUCGCCACGUCCAGCAGCGCCGCCGAUCACUCCAUCACUGACUGCUGAGGUCGUCGUGCACUUUACGUGCAAGCACUCGCAUCUCGGAGCCCAAGGCAGCACAGACCUCCAAAGCCGGAGUGCAAUCUACUCCAGCUAUCCCUUUUCCGCGUCGUAAGCUAGCCGCCGUAGCUUCCUACGAUCCGGACGAAGAAGCCACACACGGCUUCACGCCGCCUCCAUUCUAGCUGCAUUGUCUGGUGAUCUCUGGUCCAGAGCAGCAGCGCGUCGGCGAGCGAAAGGGAUCGUACCAUGGAGGCCGCCGACCUCCUCGACGGGAACGGGAAGAACAAGCCGCCGCCGCAGCCCAGGCGGCGGCGGUGGUACUGCAGCACGACGGCGGUCACGCUGCUCAUGUUCCUGCUCACCAACACCGUCUCCAUCGUCGUCUCCUCGGGCGCCGGCCCCUCCCUCCUCCGCCGCUACAAGCCCUCCACCAUCCGCCUCUGGGACGGCUCUGCCGCGCUCCUCGCCGACCUCAACGCCACGCAGGCCGACCUCGCCGCCAGCCGCGCCGAGCUCGCGGGACUCUACGCCCGCGUCGGCACCGCCAACGAGCUCCUCCGCACCCUGCUCGACUCCAUGGCCGCGCGGGACGCCGCGGACAUCGUCGCCAUCGCCGGCGGAUGGAAGCGAGAGCCCUCCGGCGAGCUGAAGCUGGCCGUCGGACCACAUAACACGUCCAUGACCGCCGGACACGGCCGGAACGCCACCGGCGAGGCGGCGACGGCGGUGUUCCCGGCUCUGGGCCACGGGUGCGUCCGCGUCCAGGACGACCUCGAGCGAUACAUGAACUACACUCCCGGUGGGGAGUGCCCGUCCGACGAGGCGCUGGCGCACCGGCUGAUGCGCAGCGGUUGCGAGCCCCUAACGCGGCGCCGGUGCCGCGCGCCGUCGCCCAAGGGGUACCGGCAACCGUCGCCGCUGCCGACGAGCCUCUGGGUCACGCCACCGGACACCAGCGUGCUCUGGGACGCGUACUACCCGUGCAAGAACUACUCGUGCCUGGCGAGCUCCCGCGGCGUCGACCUCCGCCGCGUCGGCCGGGAGAAGGCCCGGUGGGCGCGCGACGACGGCGCGCUGUCCUACUCCAUCGCCACCGUGCUCGCGACCCGCCCCAACGGCACGGUGCGCGUCGGCCUCGACCUCGCCGGCGGCGGGUCCUCCUACUCCCCCGGCACGUUCGCGGCGCGGAUGCUGGAUCACGGGGUCACCGUGGUGACCGCGGCCGUGAGCGCCGCCGCGCCGCUCAACAGCUUCGUCGCGUCGCGGGGGCUCAUCUCCGUGCACGUCACCGCCGCGCACCGGCUGCCCUUCUUCGACCGCACGCUCGACAUCGUGCACGCGGCGGCGGGUGGCCUCGGCGACGGCGGCGGAUCGAGGGUCCCCGCCGACGUGAUGCUGGAGUUCGCGCUGUUCGACGUGUACAGGGUGCUGAGGCCCGGGGGCCUGUUCUGGCUCGACCACUUCCCCUGCCCCGGGGCGCAGCUCAACGCGACGGUGGCGCCAAUGCUUGGUCGCGUCGGGUUCAAGAAGCUCCGGUGGAACACCGGCCGGGGGAAGGAGAAGGACCAGUGGUACGUCUCGGCGCUGUUGGAGAAGCCCAUGGCAUAAGAAAAUUGUGGGUUUUUUUCUCAUAGGAAACUAGUGGUUGUAAUAAUCCUGUAAUGUUCUUCUUGCUUGAUUCCUGCUUGUCUCUCUGGCAUUUUGCACGAUAUCAUAUUGUUCUGCUUUCACUUCACAUUCAUUUUCUCUCCCAAUAGUUUGGUGAUCUUAUCAAGGAAGAUAGCAAUUUUUUAGAGCAUUUCUCCUUCUCCCAAAGGCUAUCGGCCCAAGGCCUUAAAGGAAAAUCGCAAACGGUUCAAGCCCAUUAAUAAUUUUCCCGUAGCUAGUUUGGCCCACAAACUAACUGAAGGAACGGCCCAUCAAAAGGCCCAAACAGCUCGGCGCACUCCGUUGUUCGUCUCCGCUCCGGUUCACGACCGCCGCAGCCUCCGCCGCCGCACGCCACCAUCAGACACCGCAGCCACCACCGGCGGCCGCACAAUUUGACACCCAGCUCGCGAAGGCGAACCAUAAGCCCUAGCCGUCCCCCUCCCGCCCGGAUGACCCCGAGCCGCGGCGGCGCGGAAUGGAGGUGCCCCGGAGAAGCUCGACGCCCUCGCGGGCUGGUUCGCGCAGUCCCUCUCCCUCGACGCCGCCACUCGCCGCGCCGCUGAGCAGAUCCUCUGCUCCGCGGAGUCCUCCCCGGGCUUAGCGCUCGCGCUCCUCGGCCUCGCCGCCUCCCUGCGGCACGACCUCCAGGCCCGUAUUUUUAUAAUGGGUGCUCGGAAGUGAUUGCUGUGGCUGAGCUGCAGCUGAGGCUGCGGCAGAAAGCCUGAAGCGACUACAGUGCUGCUGCAAGCCUGCAGCUGCUUGUAGCAGCAGCUACAGCUGCUAAGCUGCAUCCAAUUUUUUGACAUGGAGUAUCAGCUGAUCAACUGGCUGUGAAGCAACUGGUGCUUGAGCUACAGCCGAGCAGCUGGACUGUGCAGCUGCAGCUGCAGCUGCUGGUGAAACAGUCUCAUUUCCUCGCAAAGGAACACCCCACAGAUCUAAACUAAAAACCUCUCGCUGGACCCUCCUCUUGACCGGCAAGGUUGCAAAGCCUCAACUUUGAAGAACUGAUGUGCUGCUUGCAAAGAAGGGCUGCCCCCAUCAAAAAUUCCCUUUGUUGCUAGUAAGUAAAAUCCUUUUCUUUGGGCUUUCCUUACUUUUUUUAUAUGAUUUAUUCACCAAUCAGCGAAGCUCUUUUCAUUCCUUAUUGGAACUAUGCUAGCGUUGGUAAGAAUGUGCUGCACCGUUUCUUCCUCUUGAUCCAUUGAUAUAUUGUUGGGGAAAUUAGAAAACUGUCAAAACUCCUCUCAUGUCCCUUGUCUAGUAUCAUUGAUUCAUUGUAGCAUUUGUUAGAUGCCAAUUGAUUCUGAUCUCUCUCAAGUGAGGGUAGGGUCCCACGUGUCAUUGGGACAAUCAUAGUAUUUUCACAAAGCAUAGUUCCUUUUCCUCUUGAAAAUUUGGUCCUAACCUUUGAUUUUGCAUUUUGGCUCCUGCAUCCUACGUAGUUUCUUUUAAAAUAAAAUUUCAGGUGGGGAUGGUGAUUAAGAAGAGCAGCGAAACAGCUAGCCGAGCAACAACAUACAGGGGCAGAGAGGCACAUUGCUGAAGCACAGAACAUGUCAUGUAACACUUCAUUUCUUGCUUGUUUUAUUUUUUGCACAGAUCGCCGACAAUAGUUUGGCCCUUUUUCGACCCCAGCAACUAGCUAUGCUUCAUCAGAAUUCAGUACUCGUCUGAAACUCUGGUGAUCUUGGCCAAGCAGUUGUCCACCGGCCUGGGGUGGGGCAGGUACCUCACCCGGCAGCUGGGGUUCGUCCUCGUCAGCCUGCCAAAGCAAAGCCCAACAAAUCAUUUAAGAGAAACAUGCAUUAUUCAGAUAAGGUGUCAUAUGAACAAAGCCAAAAAAAAAACACCUGUAGUUUCUUCAUCUAAACGGUAAACCCUGAAUGAAAGAAGUUACCUGUAACCGAGGAGGAAAUGGUGGAGGAAGACGGAGAUCUCCAGCUUGGCGAGAUCGUUGCCGGGGCAGAGCCUUGCGCCGAGGCCGAAGGGGAGGAAUGUGCCGGCUCUCGGCGAGUGGCCCUGAAAGGAAACAAGAGUAUGAAGAUUGUUUGAGCUUCAUCAGGCCAUGAUCUGAUUGGUGAUGCUUCUAGGAUCGAUUUAUUCAGAAUGGCAACAGUGUCUCUGUUGCUGCUGGUACAGUACCUCCCAUCUUGAAGGGUUGAACUUCUUGGGGUCAGGGUACACUUGAGGGUCCAUGUGCACGCUCCGGUACCACAGCUGAACCUUCCAGCCCUUGGGGAUCAGGUACCCUGUUAGAAAAAUGCACACGGUGUUUCAGUGGAUUCCAGAUACAAAAAUGUGAGGCUAAUUCUGAAACUCACCGUUCACAAAGACAUCUUUGGUCGCCUGACGGAAGGACACGAACGAGAUGUUGACGAACCGCAGCGUCUCGUCGAUCACCUUCAGAUACAUAGGAGUUCAUCAGUACAGUAUAAUGUUGCUGGUUGGUUGCAUUGUACUGUCAAAGAAUGGAAUCUGGUGCGCUCAAAGUCACUGCUGCGUGAGCUGAAUAUAAUGCAUUUAAUUUGCUACAAAGAAAACGUUACCUGUGAGAGGUACCCCAUCUUCCUGAAGUCCCUCAGCGUCAGCCCCUGCUGCGUCGGUGGAAUGCUCCUCAUGAUCGCCUCCUGCUCUGCCUGGAAGAAAAGAAGCCGCAUCAACCAAACUGAUCUCCAAAUAAUGUCGUCUGAGCUGAAAAGAUUCAACCUUUUUCAGCACGAUUAUAAAUCCAGUACGGCAUACCUUGGCCUUUGCAAAGAUGUCGGGAUUCUCCUGCAGGAACACGGUGGCCCACAUGGUGAUGUGGCCGGAGGACUCGUGGCCGGCGUUGAGGUACAUGAUGAGGAUGUCGAUGAUCUCGUCGUCGUCCAGCCUCCGCCCGUGCUCGUCCUCCACCUCGAUCAGCCGGUCCAUCAUGUCCACGCUGCUGGACCGCGUGAACCCCUUGGCCGUCGCCGCCCGCCUCUCGUCCAGCACGCCCUGCAGCACGGAGACCAGCCUCCGGCGAGCCCCCAGCGCCCGCCGGUACGCGAACCCGGGCAGGUUGAUGGCCAUGGCGCGCAUCCCGUAGUUGAGGUCCGUGUAGCUCCGCUCCAGCGCGUGCAUGGUGGCGUCGUCGGCGCCGCCCAGGAAGAUCUGCACGAUGAUCUUGAACGUCAUCCGGCGGAGCUCCGUCAGGAACUCGACCUCACCGCCGUCGGCGCACUCGCCGGACCACGCGCGCAGGGACGACGUCACGGUGCGGUCGAUGAAGGGAAGGUACGCGGUGAGCGCGUCGAAGCCGUUGAUGGGCGCGGCGGUGAGCUUGCGCAGGCGGCGGUGCUCGUCGUAGGGCAUGGCCACGAACGACUUGGGCCCGAUGAGCGCCACCGUGGCCUUGGGCCACCCGGUGACGAAGCCGUCGUCGUCCAUGAGCACCUGCUUGCACGCCUCCGGCGUCGUCACCAGGAUCGUCGGGCUGCUGAACAUGAAAGCUCGGUACACGCCAGUGCGGCCAAACCUGCAUGCCAAAUUGCCAAAAAUCAGGAGUCAGGGCAACUGAUGAGCUCUCGUCAGAGUACUGAUCAAAGAUCAACACCAGACUCCAGAAUGAUCGAACUUGCGAACAUGCAUUCUGAAACAGGUCAUGUCCUAGAUGCAAACAUUUUGCACAGAAAAUCAUACUUGGAUGCUCACCAUUCAUUAGCAUUGCACAAAACAUGAGGUUAUGAGUGAAUUGCAAGAGCUAGCAGAGCCAGGAACUCGUUUUCUUUGUUACAGGAAUUUCUCAAAAAUUGGUUGAAUUCAAAUUUUUGUACUGGAAAUUUCAAUCCCUGGGGAAAAGGGGGGGGGGGGGGGGGGGGGGGGCGCCCCCCACCCCCCCCUGGUGAUUUGUAAAUCAGCAGGCAGAAUAUAUUAAGUCUUGUCGAGAUGCAUUCCACAUAAUGCCUUCAUUUCUGUAGUGUUUCAGCCUUUCAGGGCAAAAGACAACAUACAGAUUGCGGCAAAGCUCUGAAGAAGAAGAAUAUUUGCAUUUUUAACACAGAUACUACCCAAAGAGAGCCGCAGCACAUAUUCGCGCAUGAAUUAAAUAGUGCUCAGCAAAUCACCAUCAGUUGAAACUCAACAGAUCACCUGAGUAUUCAUAUCAUUUAUGAAAUCACUUUGGACGGACCGACGCCCGUCGACGACAAUGAAGAAUCGACAGAGACAAAUUUGGAUGGCACCAAACCAAACACCUGUCUUACUAGCAAAGACGAUUCCUACACUACAGCAUAUGGAUCAAACAACAGAUUAAAACUUUUCUUUUACAGGGAAAAGGAUAGAUAGGAUAAGCAAAGCAGCUGCCUUUUUGACAGCAUAUGGAUGGGGAAUCAGGGACGCGAUGGGGUAGGUGCCAAGCAGGGCAUAUCAAUCACCCGGUGUUUUGUUAUCAGCAGAGCAGAGGGCAUUAGCAUUUAUCGACGAAGGUUUUGGCCAUUGCCAAAGAUGGAAUCUGCUCUGAAUGCAGGCAUGGGAGAGUGGUGGAGGUGUUGGAAAUGGAAAUCAAUCAGUCAGACAUCUCCUUUUGGGCAGUGGGGGCAGCGCCAGCAAGCAUUCCCUAGCUCCUCCUCCAUGCAUCUGAUCAGAUCAGAUCAGACGAGCCAUCACUGACUGACUGGAUGACUGUGCAUGUUUCUGAACUUACGGCAGCAGCCUGACAGAAUCGUUGAAAGUGAUUCACUGACUGCUGGAGGUGAUAUGCAGGCGUGCGUAGCAGUAGGAUAUCGUGGCGUCAUCAGGGCGCACAGAGAACUGAAGACAGAAACAGGUUGGAGAAAAUAAAAAGGAGAGAGAUGAUGAUCUUGAAGCCACACUUUGUGUGUACGUGUGCCUGUUUGAGGUCCAGGGGACAGGUUGAAGAGUCAUCCCUCCUGUUGUUUGUGCUUGCAGGUGAUGGAUGUCUUUUGGUGCAUACCUAAAAGCAUCCAUUUGAUUGCACUACUACAGUAGACUUGUAGAGAGAGGGAGAGAGACAGAUAUUGCAAGGACAAGAACAUUUCGUUCAUGCCCCAACACCAACAGGAAUUGAUGUACAAUGUUGUUCUUGGCGGCCAAACCAAACCGCAACAAUCUCGCAGUAAUUCGUCAGGAGUAGAGUGUGGAUAGCAACUCCUGUCUGAAGAGGAAUAGAGGAUGGCUUUGGCAUUGGCGAGAGAGAGAAAGAGAGGGAGGGAGGGAGAGGGCGGUUACUGGAAUGGAGGAAACUGACCGUCGGAUGAAGGAGGCGACGAAGGCGUCGGGCUUGCCGGACUUGAAGGCGCGGAGGAAGGCCCACAUGGCGCCGACGACGGGCCAGCCCAUCUCCCCCGGCGGCAGCCGCGCCCGCCUCGCCGCGCCCAGCGCCGCCUCCCUGUACCACCCGUGGAGCCUCCGCGCCCCGGCGUCGAGGAGGAAGAAGAGGAGCAACGCGCCGACGACGGCCGCCACCACCGGCGCCCACCACAUCGCCGGUGGGCUCGCCACGCCAUCGCCCACACCCACGGCCAUCUCCGGCACGGUUCCCGUGCGGCGCCGCUCGCGCAAGCAACGCAAACUCUGGGAGCGCACACCGUCGAGGCGGAAGCGACGAGAGAACUCACAAGGAUGGCGAAGAGGCCGGAGUGAAACCGUCGCUGGGUCCGCGUGCCGCUCGCUCUCUAUAAACCCAUGAACCGUAGUAGUAGGGGCUGUGCGGGCCCACAGGUACACGUCGGCGCACGGUGGACCAGGCACACGCAUGGCUUGUGUACACAAGCUCUCGCUCGGAGCACAACAAUAUCUUAUCAUUAAAUCCUCAAAAAUAAGAGAAAAUAUUAGACUUUUUCUUAGAAGAAAAGGUUACAUUUUGUUAGAGAAGUUAAAUUCUGUUGAGCAACGUGAUCCAAAUCUAGAGUACAAAUACAGCUCUUGGUACAUUGUUCUUGGAGUUUCAUGAGGUGCAUACACCGUGCUGUUUAAUUUUUAUCACAAAAAAUGUUUGUACUUUGUAUUGGCCGGCCGGAUUGCUUGUAGUGUAAUGAGGCCGGUUUUGGUUUCUUCUCUCAACAAAUAGGGCUGCAUUACACGCCAGGUGUUGCCAAACACACGCACGCGCGUGCUUCCUUGUUGGUUUUCUAGUCGUCAUGCUUUAAAAUUUCUCACACGCGGCGGUGCCUUCUGGCACGUGUGCAGUGUGCCACCGUCGUGCAUGGACAAAUGUUGGCAGGCAGUUACUCAAAAACUUUGUAGGGAGAUAAGAGGGGCUCUUCAGUGAAGCAGCAAAGAACCUUUCGGGAGUGAUCAUCUUCAAGCAUGUAAAGAGAGAUCAAAACCCGGUAGCACACGUGUACAUGUAGCUCAUAACAGAAGCAUAAGUUGGUAGACUAGUCUUACUAUUUUAUUACUAAUUAUAAAUCCAUUUUGGAACCUCCAUGCUAAUCCUCGAUGUGCAAGGAAAAAAACAGAAAAUCUCCAAAAUUCUUAAAAAAAAGUAAAAUAUCUGACCACCGAGACUCCUUCAUAGUUGAUAAUAAUCCAUUAGAUAUACUUUCCUCAAAAUCACUCAGCUUUACCUUAUGGAUAGUAACUAAAGUAACACAUGUAUAUAAAUUAUCAAUAAUAACACAACUUAAAUCUACAUUUAAAUGACCUUAUCUAUCAUUAUUAAAAAUAAGCUAAAGUAAUCUCGCAAAUAUGCAUCUAAAUUAGUCGUAAGAAAUUGUAAACACCGCAUGCUUUUAAGUUAUACACUCUUGUAAUUAUUAAUAUGCAAAAGACCGACUCAAACAUGCAUGAUUGUGUCACCACGAACCACAUAAUUAAAAAUACAUAUUUAAUUAUAUAGUAUAUGCGUGGUUGAAAUUAAAUUGGGAAGCCAAAUAUAGCUCAUGGUAAGGUUUCAACAAAACACAUAUCCAAAACACACAUGGCUACACUUAGGUGUGGCAAAAAGUGAAAAAUCUUACUAUUACUAAUUGGAGGCUUCUUUUAAAGCCUCCAGGUGAAGCCACCUAGAAUUCCUAGGUGAACACUCUAGAAAAAGAGAGAAAUCCUAGAAAUUCUCACAAAAAAGCAAAACAUAUGAUCAUUAAUCGAUAGAUUCAAAUCAUCAUAGCCAUUAAAUCUAUUAUGUUUUCUAAAAAAUUACCCACCUAUGCCAUUAUGAAAAUAGCCUAAAGCAACCCCCCUAAAUCUAUAUAUAAAUUACCCACCUCUGCUAUUAUAUAAAAUAAACUAAAGUAACCCCCUAAUCUUCAUCAAAAUUACCCACUUACGCCAUUAUAAACAAUAUUUAAAAUAACCCCCUAAUUUGCAACCAAAUUGCCCACCGCUAUUACUUAAAAACUUAAAGUAACCUGUUAAAUUUGCAUCUAUAUUACCCACACAUGCCAUUAUUAAAAAUAACAUGAUAACCCUACAUUUGAAUCAAAUAACCUUAAUUAAAAUAUACAGCAAUAUAUGAUUCUAAAUCGUCUAUAUCUUGCACUAUUGGUAUAUGAUAUUAUAAUUAAGUUCUAUACACAUGAUGUGUUACCAUUUAUAAAGAUAUAGAGGAAGUGAUGAGAAUAUAGAUUUUUAUAUUAAAAUUGUAUCACAAACUUAGGGUUCAUUAAAAAAAUUCAAGGUAUGAAAUUCAAGCACAUACCUGUGAUGCAAAGUGAAAAGUUAAAGAUUAUAAAUGUGAAUGAAAAUAUUAUAGAGUAAUUACUAACUAAAAUCUAUCACAAUUGGAUGAAGAUAAUAAGUAUAUAUCUAUUGUGUUUGAAUAUUUAACAAACGAGAGGUAGCUUAUGGUAAUAAUUUUUUAGCAAUGUAGUCCUAUUUUUUUUCCAUUGGAGACUCCGCAUUAGUUCCAUGAGACAAGCUAGAAAAAAAAGAGACAAAUUCUCAUAAAAAUCAAAAAUAUCAAACACCAAUCAUGUAAACUCUAAUAAUCAUAGCCAUUGAUCUAUUAUAUUUUCUAAAAAGUUACCCACCACUAUCAUUGUGAAAAUAUUCAAAAAUGAGCUCUAAACCUAUAUCUAAAUUACCGAGCUCAGCUAUUAUAAAAAAUAAUCUAAAUUAAUCCCAUAAUCUUCAUCCAAUUUACUAAUACAUAAUAAAGCAUAACUUAAAAUAUCAUUCUAAAAUUUUAUCUAUAUUACCCAUGUAAGUUGUUAUUAAAAAUAACCUAAAUUAAACAUCUAAAUCUUAAUAUAAUUAUCUUCACGUGCAUCAUACAUAAAUGUCAAAAAUAAACUAAUAUAUGAUUCUAAAUUACCUAUUUAUAUCAUUAUUAAUAUAAAAAUACUAAGUUCAAGUAUAUACACAUGAUGAGUGUCACCAUUUAGACCAUUUAUACAUGUACGUGAGGAAUCGAUGAAAAAUAUUGAUUUGUAUGCUAAACAUAAUGUAUGGAGGAUUGGAGGUGCGAUACAAAAUGGAAAAAGUAUGAAUAUGGAUGAAAAAGUGCAUAGAGUAAUUAUUAAUUAAAAAUCAAUCACAAUUGGACAAAGGUAGGUACAUAUCUAUAUAAGUAUUAUGUUGAUGUAUUGAAAAAAAAUAAGAGAGUAGUAGGCAAUAAAUUUUGAUUAUUAUCUAGGAGUUUAAUUUCUAAAUAAUUUUCAAAUACAAUAGCUUCUAAAAAUAUUAGCCCGUGCGGGAGCACGGUUGAUGGACUAGUACUAUUAACGAGAAUUAAAGUCUAUCACAAAAGUAAAGACGAGCAUUGUGAUAGAAAAUAAAUAAAUGAGGGAGAGUGAAAAAUAAGUAAAUUUGAUUAAUUGUGGGAUCAAAAUUUAUGAAAAGGAUUACAGUACUUUUGGACGUAUGGAACCGAGAUCGAUCGGUUCUAAGGAAGGAAUCGUAAAAAAAAACAAAUAAGAACCCAGCUAGGUUUUAUUUUUUUGAGCGAAGUCAGGGAAGUCCUACCUAUUUUUUAUAAUUUUUUUAUUUCAAACUCGUUUAAUUCGUUCUCACGGGGAGUCAAAUCUGGACCUGCUAGAUGCUACUCAAGUGCUCAACCACUGGACCAGAGGUUUUAUACAUUUGGUGAAUGUCACCAAGAAAAUAACCAUGUAGAAAAUGCUUUGCUAAAUUGACUAGCUUGGCGACGAGGACAGGGGAGGAAUCGUAGUACGAAGAUACAGGUGAUGAUGGAUCCGUGGUGAAAAAGUAGCUUGUUGGUUUUCGACCUUUUGAGAAACAUCAAGGUACAUAUAUUGUAUCGAUCAGUGAGUAGCUAGCUAGGAAUGACACGGGCGGAUCGAUGAGAUAACUUUUAGGGUACAACAGUGAUGCGAUGCGACGACGAUCGUAUCGAGCUCGGGGUACAUGACCAUAGCCUCGAUAUGGUACGUGUGUGUCGCCACACACAUGUACACUUCGUGAUCAUAUUCAUACGUGUUCAAGUAACGAGAGUGACAUGCCUUUAUCUUACACGUCGGUGGCGGCCACUGAUGAUAAAGUCUGUGAGCAGCGGUACGUGCAUCAUGUGCAUGGCUUCAGCUGGGAUUCGAUGAAAUGUACUUGAUUUAGGAUAAAACAUUUCCUUUUUCUCUGAAAGGUAGAGCAUAUAUAUAAAAGAAUAAAAGAUUUAGAAUUAGGAGCGUACGUUAGUUUUUUCUAGAUUUUUACUAUUCUUCUCAAAACCACUUUUUGAUUACUAGCUAGCUAGUAUCUUGUACGAAUUUGUAGUGUUUAUGGAUUUUGCAAUUGUAAAUUUUUCAUAUGUUGCCACUGAAUGCUACCGCAAUGUUCUUCUAAUGUCCAGCUAGCCUAUAAAUUAAAUAAUCCUGGGUUUGCCACAGCUCGUCUUCACAUAAGUAGAUUAUGCUAGCAGAAUGGCAGACGAGCAUUUGCAUUCAGCCACGUACUUGCCGCUGAAAAGUCUGGUUCUUUAGACUUGAUUGAAAUGAAAUGGCUGCAAAAGGGAGAAAAAAGGUCCUGCAGCGUGUCGACUGAGUUUAUUCAGUCACAUCUUGCAGUGCAGAUGCCGUGCAUGCAGCCACCCUAAGCAUUUUUAAUCUUUGGCGCUAGUACGGUGGGAAUCUGAUCACCGCUUGCUUGCAUUUGUCUCUCCGUUUCUAAACCGUACGGCAGAUUUUAAGCUAAAAGUAUGUAUGGUAACAAUGAAUUUAAUUAGAUUCGUUGUAGUUUACUUUACUAGACGUUAAUCUCUUUUUUAUUAGAUGUUAAUCUCUUUUUUAUUAGAUGUUAAUCUCUUCUCUAUAAAUUUGGUUACCGAACAAUUUUAACUUAGCAGGAUAUACAUUGAAAAUCAUUUAUAUUCCAAGACAAAUGUAGUACAUCAUUAUGGCCGUCGUCCAUGCCUCUGCGAUGUGCAUGAAUGUGCCCCAGCACAAAGGGAUCCAUGAUGCUGAGAGGCUGAUCGAGAACAAGCUUUAUUAAGAGUUUGUAGAAAUAAAGAUGUGAAUGAUGGCGACUGUGAACCGGGUCAGAAGAUGUAUCUUUCGAGAGAUAUGGGAGAGGCUAAGCUAGCUUCUCUCCACUCCUUUGGGUGUGCUUGCAUUGGGGCCGGAUUGCCAUGCCUCGACCCCUACCCUGUCCCCCUCCAUCUCAUCCCAGCCCAAAUGGGGAGUGGCACCAUCCUCGAAUGUGACAGGAAGCAUCCAUCACAACCCUACCAGCAAACUGACCACCGACUCGUUGACAACCAAAACAAAUAGCACUAGCACAAUGCUAGCAUCUCCUUACAUUCAUGAGUCAUGACAUUGCAUUCUGGGCUUGUGGCUGUAUUUAACCAAGGAUAAAUCCAAACAUGUCUUCAAUUCUUGGAAUUAAUGUCCUAGGAAAGAAUACCCAUUAUUUGCAAGAAACAAAUUUUAAAGGGAGAAGAAUCCAACAAUUUUAGAGAGUGCUAGUGGCCUAGGGACCGAGCAGCAGCAUGCUGCUUUUUGGAUAGAAUAACAGGCAGCAGCAGCCACGCAUGCCGGCAUGGGGCCUGAUCAACUGAUAAUGCCCUAUUGAUCAAGAAAGAAUAAGCUAGCUGCAAGCUGAUGGACUCUCGAUCCCUAAGGGUUUGUUUGGUUGUAUGCACCAUAUACCAUAUGAUGUAUGUAUGAAUGAUAUUGAAUGGUGAGGUUCAACCAAUGUGCUUGUACCAUAUGGCUCACUCUUAUUAGUAGAAUAAUGUAUUAGGUGGGAUGACUUCAUCCUAGAUGGGAUGGUAUAAUUAAAAAAAAAAGAAUCAUUAUUAUUUUGCACCAUUCCAUACAUAAACCAUAUAGCCAAACAAACAUACUUAGUGUCGCAGUAGGUCCAUGGCCCCGAUGGCUAUAGGGACGGCUCGAGCAAGAGUCGUGAUCAGCCCAAGACAAAAUCACGCAGCAAAUCUCUAGCCAAGGCCACACGCUUCACACUGCCUUUUUCUGGUAACGUCGUCAUUAGGCAUUAGCUUUUGUUGCUGCGCACCCCGAUCCCAUCGAGAGGCUGGUUCUGUGUGCACGUUCCUAGCUCCUAGGCAACAAAAGAAGCUUAGUGUGAUGCAAGGGGACGACGGAGAGGAUGAUAGCUUCGCUGCUGGACCCCACCACCGCCACGGCGGUUGAGCCGUCACGAGCUCACGACGUACGACGCCGCCUGGUGCUGACUUCCAGUUGCUCGGAAAUUCUCAGCUCUGGGCCGCCGCCGACCGCCGUCGUGGUUGGCCGGCCGGCAGGAAGAAAGCAGACCGGCCGGCAGAGCUAUCACCAACACCUUGGCACCUUGUCGAAAUGGGAGGUCGUACCAAAGGCAAUGGCGAUGGAGAAGGGAGAUGUUACCUGUCUCUAAAAGUGAGUUCGGCUCAUUUAGCGCUCUGCUCAUUAGUUUCUAUCUAGGGGCCGGCAGAUGGUAUCUCUCUCUCCCCCUCUCUAGAAAAAGAAAGUCUCUAGGAAAAGAAAAGUGGAGAAGAUACGCUACAAAAAGAUAAAAUCCUAGAAGUAAACUCUAGGUGUAAACAUCAACCGCCAUUCUAGGUGUAAACAUCAACCGCCAUUGUGGAUAUAAGGACCCUAUUUAUUUGAGAUUAUAAUCCAUUAGAUUAUUAGAUUAUGUGUAAAGGGUAGUAUAAUAAAAGAUCAUAUUGGGACCACAUUGGGAUUGCAAAUAAUCUGAAAUAAGCUAGUGGUCUGGCUUAUAUACUCCCUCCGUCCCACAAAGACUGUUCGUUUAGAAAAUUUUAGACAAGAUAGUAGCAAUGUUAAAAGUCCAAAGUACCCCUAAUAACUCUUCUUAAUCGGAUGGAUUAACAAGUAGAAUUAAUUAUACAUAUACGCUUGCAAUAAUUGUCGGACCUAUUAGCCUUCCUUGUUUAGCGAGUUUGGCUCGAGCAUCGAUAGUGGGAGUAAAUGAUCGAUUCGUUUAUUGAACCAGAAGGUAUUAUGAGGACCUUUGUUGGAUGGUCUGAAAGUUAUAUAAACACUCUUUGUGGAACAAGUUUUGGAAGCUAAACGAACAGUGUCUUUCGGGAUGGAGGGAGUAAUCUAGAAGGCAAACAAAUAGGCCCUUUCUAAAUUAACCACCUUUAUUUUCCGUUAUAAAAAUAUAACCCUCGAAAUAUGGAUCUAGAAUGCCUAUCUCUCUACCGCUAAUGAAUGGUAAUCUCAAGCAACCCCCAACACUUUGCCAUUGUGAAAGUCUCAAACGCAUCCGUCUCCAAAGCUAACUUCAGAUUCACCCAGAUUCAGACUGAUUCAGCAUGAAGAGCCCCUUGACAGUACUGCAACUUCCCGGCUACUGCUAUCAUCACAUCACCCUGCGAAUCUCUGAUGGCAUGGCCCAAAGCUCCCUCACCAGUCACCGCUACUCUUCUUGUGAAAAGCUCCAUCAGUAUUGGUUUUCAGGACAUCUACCGGUGGGCGCCUCCAACAAUAUCCUUUUGUCUCUGCGAUCUGACAGACAUUUGUUGGCCUUCUCCUAUUUUUCAGAAAUUCGUCAGUGUACUUCCACCAUGCAUUGCCACAUACUACUGCUGUAUGCAGGAGAAGGAGCAGAGGAUUGGUGGCGACUCCAAUCCCUUUCCUUCUAGAUCAAUUUCCUCCCAGAUCUUCAGUACCCAUUUACGUCUUGUUUGGAUCCGUCCAACUAGCUAAACUUCAGAAACUUUUUAAAAUUUAGCUAGGGGUAUUUGGAUCUACCAACUAAAUGAUAGUUAAAGAGCUAUUUGUCUAUUCUAGCCCCUCCCAAUUUAGAAACUUUUCCCAAGGAAGGUGGGGUAAUUUGGUUUUAACAGUUUAGCUAAGUUUAACCGGCUAAACUUUAGCUGAGUCCUGUUUAGAUCCAUAGCAGCUAAAUGUAGCCAGCUAAAAUUUAGCUGGUGGAUCCAAAUAGAGCCUUACACUUGAAAAAAAAUGACAUUGUUAUUUAACGCAUGUUUUAUUUUUAAAAAAAUUACCGUGCGUUGCUACGGGCAGUAAAAUAUUUCAGUGCAAUAUGAAGAGCAUAGGAAAUAUGGUGUUGAUCUACUUAACGUGUUGUUUAAGGCUCAUUGAAAUCCACAAGCAUCAACAUUGGCGUAAUAGUGAUAAACCAAGCAUAAACAUAGUAUACAAAAAUAGUUAAUUCAAGUAAAAUUAUAAUCCAACACCAUGUCUCAGUUCAAGUUUAACACAACACUUGAAACUGAAUAUACAUUUGCUCUUUGCCUUAUGUCCAACUAUAGUAACGAUUCAAGCUCACUGAACCAAACGGCCUGAACAGACCCUAGAUAAACAACCAGUCCUGAAAAUACCAGGACAGUACCUUCCCCAAAGCCCAGUCAGCAGAAUCAAAGUAAGCUCUUUCAUGGUCCUCAUAUGAAACUUUAAACAUAGGUAAGAGGACAUGGACAUUAGAGACAAAAAUAAAUUAACUUCUCUUGUUAUGGUGAAUGCAUACCAUCUCUUUCAUUGUGAUCAAAAGCUUCUACUUUCUCAUCAGAUGUAACAGAAAUCUGACAUAAAUCUACUUUCUCAGGACAAAUACGGAAUUCAGACAUAAAUCUUGAUAUGAUGAACAAUAUCAGUGUAUAGGAUACAUACAGAUCACUACAUCCAAAUAAUAGACUAUUUAUGACUUAGAUAGGACCAAAGUUAUAAUUCUGAUAUGAAUAGCUUAAACUCCUCACUAAAUAUUUGACUACUCUUCCACCUGGAGCUUAACAGUAAAGACCGCGGUAAUAGUGAAAAUGGUGCAAAGUAUGAGGCUUAUGAAAUAUGGUGCUCCUUCCAACCUACAUGAGUCAUUCUAAUUCUAAAUUCACCCCAUAGUUAAAGUUGAGUGACAUAUAUUACCCAAAACAUGCAUACCAACGGACCUGCUUUGCUCCAAAAAAAAGAAGGAAAAACAGAUGUCAAAGAAAAGGAAAAAAAGAAAAAAAAUGACCAUAUUUGGAUGAGAGCGGGUGUCAGUGUCCAAAAGUCAUAAGCAUAUGAAGGGAACAUGAAGUGGUGGAAAUAGUCAAUUCAUAAAGAAAAAGAUUUGGCAUACCACUGAAUUAGUAUAAGUAAGAAAUUAUAGCAGCUGUUCCUGUAAGCACCAUUCAGCUAGACACAUGUUUCUGUAUCAGAAAAAACUUAAUACUUUUAACAGCUUUUUUAUCACCAUUGUGAUCACUCAACACAUUUGGCAAGCCAUUCAUUUAGCGAUUUCACUAUCCUGCCUAUCAAGAACAGGUGUAUUUACAAAAAAGUAACUGCUGUGUCAAACAGAUUCGGGAUGUUCUACACCACCAGUUACUGCAUACAAACAGUCAAUACUGCAAUUCAAAAUUCCCAUAUAUAACAACUAAAUUCUAUGCUACAACUCUAUAGAGUUCACAAUUCAGUUCUGUAAUGAGGAGAAGCCAGAUUAGUCUGACCCUGUCAAAUUCUGAAAGAUCCAAAACCCACCAAUGCUAAGCAUGCUGAUCACCCUACAAAAUGGCCACACAUGUCAAACACUAAAAUAAGAUAUAUAGCUUUGGUUAUCACUGACCACAUCUUGACCAUUCCAUAGGCACAAUGAAAUGGAAAUAGUAAGAUCAAUUGAGAAAGUUUGCAUUCUACUAUGUACAACCUAACUAAAAAGCCAACACGGCAAACAAAGAAUCACCCAUGCAAACGGCACCCGAGCUAAUACAGUUGUUUGCUGUACUUUCAGUUUAUGAGCUGAAAACUAAUCUAAUGGACUACCACAAUUUGGCAAGCUUUCAGUCUAUGAGCAGCAAGAAAUAUAUAUAGCUCAAUUGAAAGAACAAUCGCUAAGCCAACAAUCAGCAAAGAGCUCACAAUCAUAUCUUAGCACUCUUGUCGUGCCAUUCGGCCAUAUGCAUUUUAAUACAUGUGGAAGCCAAUUUCACAAACAAGUAGUAAGUACCUCUGAAAAACAAUAUGCUCAUACUUUGCAUUGUAGCUUAUGUCAUCACACUGCAUGAAGUAAUCAGAUAAAGCCAUCAGUUUAUCAUACAUUCAUACAAGGGAUCAAUAUUGCAACACAAGAUGAAAACAAAAUAUUCAUGACAAUGUAGCACAGCUGGUUUGGAAUAUGUGCCCACCACGUUUUGUAAAAAAGACAUCUAGAAUUAAAUAUAGGCUCAUAAGGAAAUUUAACCCUUGUUCCCUAAAAUCAUCAGGGCGAUUUCCCCUCCCUGCGCCUGAGUUAUCAGCCGGCCCUUUAUCCCUAAAAUCUCUGAAGUCCCCUUCUUAAUUACGGAGAUAAUGGAAAAGGGAUAAAGGAUAAUAUAUUUGCCUUUGUAUUGAUGAGAUAAUGGGAAAGGGAUCAAAGCAUUGUCAUCUCAUACGUUCCCUGUUUUUUUGGGAACUUACAGCAUUUGCAAUAUGAAGCUGUAAUACACUAGGAUAGUAGGAUAAAAUGUGAUGCUUCACCAUAUAAUUCAGAAGAUAGUAAAAUAUUGUCCAAUGAUAAAGUAGGCCUCAUGUAGUGUACGAUAAAACAUCAGGGUAUUUUUAUCAAGCUAAUAUUCCCUACCAGAAUACAACCCACCUUCUCAGCUCCAUGCCGAUUGAAUUGGACAGAGAUCUAAUCAGGCUUCUAAGAUCUUAUGACAAUCGGGACCAAUAAAUUUCUUAUCAACUAAAAAUUAUAUUAGAAACCAAAUCAAAAGGCUUAGAAUACAAAUGCUUGCCACUUGCAGGAAGAUCAGAAGAAUCAUUUUGUUUUUCCAUUCUAACAAACUUUACUUCAUUGUGUAUAUGUAACCUAAUGCUAUUGAAGAGAGUAGCAGCAUCUUACUGCGGCAAGUAACUCAUGACCGAUUAGGGAAAAUAGGUUAACAACAUAAAGUGUGGUUCAUAUGAUGGGACAUUAUUAAUCUGAUUAGUACAGUUGAAGUGAGAAGGAAAUACUGAUAUAAGCUGCAAUAAGCAAGCUUACCUUGCUUUUGUGUGACAGAACGUUAACCUAAUAAUCUCUCACUUAAAAUAAAUUAAAAUGCCAAAUAGUACACAAAUAAUAGAAUGGGUUUUACAAUUCCAAAGCACAAACUAAUCUUACAAUUAUUCAGGAAAAGGAUCAAUAAGAAACAGCCUAGUGCAGGAAGCAAGAGAUAAAUUGGUCUUGCAAUAAAGAGGAAAGAAACCAACACACCCAUGUGGUGAACAUAAUAAUAUAAAAUAUAAAAAGAAAAUGCAGUAUAGUUAAGAGGAUGUAGAAAUGCCUAGAAGAAUUUGUUUGAACUUACCAUUGUCCAUGAAAUGAGGCAGUAUGUGCAGUCCACUAUUCAUGUAAAAAAGUUUAUGCGCUGAACAACCCUUCAGGUCAAAGGCGAACCAGAUUUUGUGCCCCUAAUUCGAGUAAGCAAAAUGAUAAAACAAGAAGGAAAGCAUCAAAUUUUCACCUGGAGCAGUGGAGCACGUAGUCUCCAACCAUUCUUUAAAACUCUCCUCCAUUCUGCUCACCUCCUUAAAAUCUAUAAAUUGAGGGAUGAGUUCCUUGGCCUCCGAUCCAUAUUCUUCAGGAGCAUGCAAAUCCCACUCUCUUCCUCACGGCUUUUUAAUAGAGCGGAAUGCAGUUUGGCCACCUACAUGAAGGGGAUUUAGACCAGCGGCUGCUCAGUUCCAAAUCGUGCGAAGAACAAGAUCUAAAAUCCAUGUGGAGUAACUGUAGCAGUGGUGGGACGGCUUCGCGAUGGUUGCAUCAGUGGUGGCGCGGCGGCCCUUACCAGCGCGGCGACGUUUCACGCAAGGUGAUGACCAAGGCACCAGAUGUCGUCGGCGCUCUCCUGGCCCUCCCCUUGCAGGAUGGUACCUUGGCCUGCACGAGCGUAGGCAAGCGCAGGUGCGGCGGUCGCCCUCACGCCCGUCCUCCGUGCCGGACUGGAGGAAAUCGGCUGCAGACGAAUGCGGGGGAGGUGCGGCGGAUCAGUUAAGCAUCAUGUGAAUUUCAAGACAGGAAUUUUGAUGGGUGAGGAGCACCUCGAUGGGGAUGGAUGGGCGACUAGAUUGGGGCGCCACCCCUCCCACUGUACAGGAUCCGCCGCCGGGAUGGAUCGGGGGGCACCGCCUCUCGCUGUCGAAGCGCCGCCACUCUUGACGGCGGCGGCGGCGCAGGUGUUGCGGCGGCGGUCGGUGUGGCAAAAUCCUGAACGACGGCAUCGGUGUUGCGGCGGCAGUGGUGUCGGUGUUGCGGCGACGGCGGCGGCGGUGCUAGAGGAUCUCACGGCGGCGGCGGCGGCGGUGUUUUGCAAUGGAGGCCGAUGGAGAUGCAGGACGGGGAACCCUGGACGGCGGCGGCGGCGUUGCUGCGAUGGGGAGGGAAACUGGACCAGGGAGUUGGAGGCGGAGAGAGUUGGCGGAGGGAGGGCGAUUGAUCGUAGGGCCAGUGCUGCGUCGGGGUCUCGUCGGGCCGAGGGACGGCUCGAAGCCAACCCCGAGGAUCGACGGCGGAACGCGGCGGGCGCGGACGCGGGCGCGUUUGCAGGCAACGGAGGGCCGCUAAUCGAUCGAGGCGGACCGAAUUUUUACUCGGUUUUGUUUUUUUAGCUGUAGAGAUUUAACACAUGUUUGUCAACAACACAAGCAGGCAAGCAGCAUAUCUCUCGCACUCGCUCACUGUCACAGUGGACCCACACACACACACACACACACACAACCCCCUUACAGAUGGGCCACGGCCAGCAGCCCAGCACAUCACACGCGCUCAUGUCUUGGUUUAUGGGCUGAAACUUAAUUAGUAGGAGAUGUCGUCGUGGGCUGCAACUUUACGGGCUCGUCCAACUUCCUAGGCCCACAAUAGCCAACCACGAAUCCACGAUCCACUUGAAGGUAAAUUGUUCCUCUCAAAAAACAAAAAACUUGAAGGUAAAUUGUUUCGUUGUGACACAUGGAAAUCAAGCUGCAGCUUAUAAUUAAUUACUCCGUAACUGCGAGUUGUGAAAUCCUUCCAUGGCCGUUGUUCUUGGUGGUGAUCUGAGCCCGAGCUCCGUCCGGCGGCCGUCAAGCACGUCACCUCCUGGGCUUCCGGAGCAGCGCGGAGAUGUACCACUCGUCCAUCUCGACGCCCCGGUCGAGCUUCCGCCCGGCGUUCCACCGGAGCUUCUCGAACCCGAUCCGCUCAAACAUGGGCACGUACGUGGCGUCCAGCUGCGCCCCCAGGCCGAAGAAGUGGUCGAGCCAGAACACGCCGCCGGGCCGGAGCACCCGGAACACGUCGAAGAGCGCGAGCUCCAGCACCGCGUCGGGGAUCCAGCCGCUGAGCACGUGCAUCGAGUGCACCAGGUCCAGCGCCCCGUCCGGGAACGGCAGCCGCGCCGCCACGCUCAGGUGCAUCGCCACCAGCCCCCGCGACGCGAUGAAGCCGCAGAACGGCCCGUCGAAGUUCAUCGACGUCGUCACCACCGUCACGCCGCGCUCACGCAUCCGCGCCGCGAAGGUGCCCGUCCCGCCGCCGAUGUCCAGCCCGAUCCGCGCCGUGCCUUUUGGAAACGUGGCGAGCACGCCGUCGAUGGUGUAGUCGAGCGAGUUCUCCUCCCGGUCGUCGUCGUCGUCGUUGUUGCCGGCGCGGCGCAUCCAGCGGUCCUUCUCCCGGCCGCGGAGGUCGAAGCAGUCCUUGCAGUCGUAGCUGCCGCCCUUGGCCUUCCCGCGGUUCACGAGGCAGGAGUAGUUCUUGCAGGUGUACGCGUCCCAGACGACGCUGGUGUCGGGCGGGAUCGCCCACAGGCUCGCCGGCAGCGGCGCCGGCUCCACGUACCCGGCGGGGGUGCGCGGCCGGCACCGGCGGCGCGGCAGCGGCUCGCACCCCUUGAGCAUCAGCCGCUGCGCGAACGCCUCGUCGGAGGGGCACUCCCCGCCGGCGGUGUAGUUCAUGUACCGCUCCAGGUCGCCGCGGUGCCGGUGGCACGCCUGCCCCACCGCCGGGAACAUCACCUCACCGCCGGCGCCGGGCCGCCUGUGCGGGCCGACCGCCCACCGAAGCUCACCACCGGCGGGGAGGUCCCGCUCCCGCCGCCACAGCCCGCCGUUGGCCGCCGCCGCCUGCCGCUGCUCCUCCCGGGCGGCCUCCAUGUCGCGCUUGGCGGCCGAGCCGCCGCCCAGGAUGGCCUCGAGCUGCUUGUUGGCCGCGGUCAGGCGGUUCGACAGGUCCACCACCUCGGCGUGGCUGGCCGCGAGCGCCAGGCCGGUGAGGUUGAGCUCGCGGAGCAGCUUGGACGAGCCCCACGCGUGGACGGCCGCCGGGUAGCGCCUGCCGACGUGGGCGUGGAGCGCCGCGCCGGCGCCGGAGAAGACGAGGAUGGACGCCGCGUUCGUCAGGAACAGGAGCACCACCACGGCCCUCGACCUCCUCUGCUGCUGCUGCUGAUGAUGCUGGUCUGGUCUGGGCUUCUUGCCAAUGUCGUAGUCCAUGCUCCCCAUGAUGCAACAGCAGCAAUGUAUGAACCCUUUUUUUGCUGGAUACGGCGACAAGUUUGAUGCCAUGGCGCGUGGUGUUUAUAGAUGUGUGGAUUUGGCAAGUGUAGGUGACGACCAAGGGAGGAACAAUUGGAGGAGAGGUUUCCAGACUUGCGGCCUGUUCGGCUGGACUUAUAAGCCAGCUGAAAAGUUGAAACGUCUAAUUUAUUGUGAAAGAAAAAUAUUGUUUGGAUGCUUGAGGAGUGAACAAAGCAGAGAUGGUGCCUGCGGCCCUGUGGGUGUGUAUUCAUUUGCAACAUGGAGUGGUGGUCAACACGUACACCUUGCCAUCUCGGCACGCCUCGCAGCACUCUGUUGUGAUGUGUGAGGGUAGGACUGAAGAUGACAGGCCACGGUGGUGCCACGAUGGUUUGCUUCGCCAUGAAAAUGAAGAGCCUGUGUGCAUCAUACACACCAAGCUAGUCAAACUCUUGGAAGAGCUCGAAGCAAUUGCAGAGCCCUCCUUUGUCCCCUGCCUGCUUUCGAGCGAGGGAAGGCACGGGCCACCGGGGGGCCAGCUGCAGGUAUAUUCCCAACCCAAUUUAGCACUCGUUACAAAAAAAAAAAAGGUCUACAAGAACUGAAGAUGCAGUCAGCAACUCGGAACCAUAUGCAUUUGUUAUCAACAUUGUGCAUCAGAGGAAUCUUGACCUGGCAAAGCUAGCCAGCCAUAUCACAAGCCUAAGCUCAUGCCUAUCAGCUCACCCUAAAACCUCUGAUAAUAAAAAGCAGAAAGAGCAAGACAAAACAAUACAACAAUUCCCUCCUUGUUUACUUCCCUCCAAACUCCCAACUUUGACACUAUGUAAAAAGAAGAUUCCCCAUCACAUUAAACUUGCGGUACAUGCAUGGAAUACUAAAUGUAGACGAAAUCAAAAACUAAUUGCACAAUUUUGUGUACUUUGCGAGGCGAAUCUUUUGAGCCUAAUUAGUCAAUAUUUGGACAAUAAUUCACAAAUACAAACGAAACGUUAUAGUGUCGCAUUUAUGGCAAAAUGCCAAUUUUGCAACUCCCAACUUGGGAAGUAAACAAGGCCUCCGUAGGUUUAAUCCAACGACAUUAUAGCAACAGGAUCAUUUUGAUGUAAGACUGCAAAAAGUGCCCAUGAGGCCUGCAAUCUAAGGUACAGCCUACAGCGACUGCUGCAUGUCCCUGUUGCAGUAAACCUGUGGACUGUCGCACUCAGUCUAAACACACUUGCAGAGCUAUGUAUGAUUCACUAUGACAUUGACAAAUGAAAAUCAAAGUCAUGCAUUCGCUUGCGACGGGGAUUGCUUGGGAACCCCCCUACUGCAAGCAGCACCUUUUAGCAAAUGGCUCACAACCUUCAACUAUCAUGAUUCCUACCUAAGAAAGUAAUCCACCUAUCAUGCCUAUAGAUCAAUAAACCAAUAUAGUUCCAAUCACAAUUUCCCCCCUCCCUCUAGGCUCUUCGCAGGCAAGCCAUUCUAAAUCUGGUAAGAGCACAGCAGUGAGGAAUUCAGAUAGCCAGCUUCACUGGCAUUGUCUAUUGUUGAAAAUUCAUAUUAUAACAACCAUCUCAUAUGUACAGACAGAUCGACUGGAGAAGGGGAAUCUGUACACAUCCAUCCCAGGUUAAAACUUCUCCCCCAACAGUAAAAAGAAUUUCCACCAACUGUCAAAGACGAAAAUAGCCAAAACCCCUAUUGCUAAUAUUACCUCCAACCUUGUAUGUAAACAGUAAAGCAAUCAUCUUAUCUUGUAAGCCCAACCAUGCUCGCUCAAAAAUGCAUGUACAGCUUCCUUGAUGGCAAGAUUCGGAACUAGCUGGUGUGGUUCAAGCGCCUCACGGGUCAAAGGGUCAAACUUCCCCACCUACAAAUUAGGAGAGUUCAUAAUUUUGACACAUAAAACACUAGUGUACUGUGAGAAAUUGUUGAUGUUCGUGUCAGUUACCGUUUGAAGAUGGUCAAGAAGUACAGCCCUCUCAUAAGUAACUCCACUUGGGGUGAUCACUGGGUCUCUGAAGGUAUCAAGUGUAAUUUUGCAGCAGAGAUGAUCAGGAACCUGAAAAUAAAUAAAUUGAAUGAUUAGACCAGUCAAGGCAACCAAGUAAACGUCAUCUCAGGCAGGUUAGUACUUCUGCUGGAGUAUCAGCCUUUGCAGCUUUCUUGAAAACUUCCUCUAGCUCAUUUAGCUGUUCUUCAGGUUCAUCUGCAGCUGGAUUACCAAGGCUAUUGUAAUUCCUAAGAGCUUGUUUGCAUUCUACCCUGUAAAACGAUGAACAGAUACAUUAGGGUACUAGAGUACACCCCUGUGAUACUAAUUGAACAACACAGAAAAUCUUCACUUACUUCAGCUUCUGCAAUUGAAAGGCUCGCUCUCUUGAUAAGCCUUCCCAUUCGAUGUAUUUUGCUUUAGAAAGCUCUUGCCAAAUCUCUUCAACCAUGUAGCUUGCAGGAUGUGCACCCCUUCCUAGCUCCAAGGACUAGUUUUGAAAAUGUUUGGUUCAUCAGUAAAAACAGAAUAAAGAGAAUUUGAAUUCUAACUGAAAUAACAUAAUCAUCUGAAGAAAACUGGAUUAAAUGAGACAUUCAUAAUUAUGGUUUUCCUGUUCCUGUAGUUGUUGCACUAAUUCUUGAUUCUGGUUAAGAUCAGAGUUUUCAUCUUUAUCAGAUCAAGAGAACUAGGACAGGGCAUCUUGAUAUUAAUAUUUUGUUAAGAAUGGUUUGCCAAUCCUGUGCUUAUACGACUUAUAUUGUACAUGACAGGAUGGAACAGGAACAAAAGCCAGCACGUUCCCCACAAAAAAAAGAAGGAAUAAAGGCCAGCUUAAGGCGAAGUUGGACCAUGACCCCACAAGUAGAACAAUAUUUUAUUUAUACGUAGUUGAGGUAACUGAGGGAGGUCAUCAACUUAGUAAAGGAAUAGAAGUGGUCAGCUUAAGAUUAAUGAUUGGUAAAAAUGGAUUGUGCUAGUAAAUGAGCAAAAUAAUACAAGCACACCCUAGGGCAGGAGGGAGUGAGAGAGAUACCUUCUCCAGUGCUUUUAUUCCUUCAGACAAUCUUUGGCUGUUGACAAGUGCUAGGCCCAGCAUGUAAUGUCCCUGCCAACAAAGUAAAUAAGUUAUCAUCUAAAGAAAAGAGACUAGGAGAUGAGUAUAAAUAUGAUGUUUUCCUCAUCCAUUAAAAAAAAACAACUACAGUGAGUGCUUAAUGUGAGUGUGUUCCCCUGACUUUAGUUACCCCCACAGUGCCACCGCAACGUCAACAGUGAAUUAAAGACCAAUGUCAAAAUGGUUACACACAGUGAGUUCAGUACUCAGAUUGACCGAAGUUAACAGACAAGUAACAAACAUAUUCUAUAGUGUUUGACUUCGCUUCUGUUCCUUCUCUUAACUCCAGAAUAGUGGAUCCCAAGACUUAGGGGGUGUUUGGAUACCCCAUACUAAAGUUUAGCACCCGUCACAUCGGAUGUUUGGAUGCUAAUUAGAAGUAUUAAAUAUAGGCUAAUUACAAAACUAAUUGCACAAAUGGAGUCUAAUUCACGAGACGAAUCUAUUAAGCCUAAUUAGUCCAUGAUUUGACAAUGGGGUGCUACACUAACCAUUUGCUAAUGAUGGAUUAAUUAGGCUUAAUAGAUUCGUCUCGCGAAUUAGCAUAGGGUUUUGCAAUUAAUUUUAUAAUUAGCUCAUGUUUAGUCCUUCUAAUUAGCAUCCGAAUAUCUGAUGUGACACUGCUAAAGUUUAGCACCUAGUAUCCAAACACCCCCUUAAUUACAAACAUAUCUUACAUGCUCUAUUGCAAAUCAAAGUGUAUAUGUUUGAAGCAUAUCUUACUGACUCAUAGAGCAAGUCAGGAUCAUUCUGCUAAAGUCAGAAUUCUAGCCCCCAUUUUUUGCAACAACUUCAAAAAAUAACAAAGGACUUUCUACCUAUUGGAAAAUCAGACUUAUGGAAAAUUCAAUUCAAGUGGAACGAGGCAAACAGAAACAAGCUCAGCAACUGGAUUAAUCUAGUACACCCUGUUUGCAAGCGGACCUUCCAUCUGAGAGACAACAACAGGUGCCUCAGCUUGUUCAUGUGGAAUCAAGUCCAGUUUCACGUUGUGCUAAGCCACAUAAUCCAGCUGGCAAGUACAAUCUUCCCAAUUCUAUUAAAGUAAUUUCAUUGGCUCUGAAGUAGAGACAUUUAGAUAUCUUUAGGCAUAGAGUGUGUCAAGAAGUGGAAGUAAACAGAUCCUUUUUAAAAAGCAGCUCAUCUCCACAGUACCAAAUGAAGCCUAACUCAACUAGCAUGUUGAUGUGUGCAGAAGGUGAAAUACUAACAUGAAUACUAAAUCUGUUACAUAUUUGGUCAAGAAAAAAAAGUGAUGGGGAAUGAAAUGUGUUUCCAAAUGAGAAAACGAUGUCCUUAUAAUGCACAGUACAUUUCUCAAUAAUCAGCAUGCCCACAUAGUCAGCACUGAACAAAACACACAAAAAAUAGUUAAAGACAGAUCAAGUCAUCACCUUAACAGAUUGGCUGUCAAGCUGGAUAGCCGUUCUACAGUCUUCCUCAACCUUGGCCCACUCACUGGCAAAUUCAAUAGGAACACAGUAUGGUGUAAACACUUUGAUUGCACAUUAAAAUUGAUAAGUAAAAUGCAACAACCAAAAAGGACUAGCAAUUUUACAGACUUCCGCUUCUUAUAGCAAAGUGCCCGGUUGGUCCAAUAUACUGCAACAUUUGGGCAGAGAGUGAUGGCCUGUCAACCAAAAUAGACAAUGAAGUUAGCAAAGGACGUGCAAGAUAUAAAGAGAUUUAACUAGAACUGCCAUCAUUUUUACUAACAUAUAGUUUAUCAUAGAUUCAUACACGCUUUCACUACAACUGCCAUCAUUUUAAAAAGGCCAAACAAGUGGGACUAUCAAGGUGGACAGGUAAGCUUUAGUCUUGGGUCCCGUUUGACACAGCUCUAGCUCUUAGCUCCAAGUCAGAUUUAGAGUUUAUAAACUAAAAUAAAGUAGUAUACAAAUCUAUUUCUGUCGGAAUUGAAUCAAAAGGAUUCACAUAAACAGUCCCAAUGUAGCCCCAGCUCCAGUUCCAUGAGAACUUGGACAUAGGAAUACCCAGCUCCAAGCUGGAGCUGUGCCAAACAGUCCUUUACUUGAAUGGCUAAAACCAAAUCAUUCAAUGUUCCGUUCAUUAAUAUAAAAUUAAUAUUUAAUAAUCCUGUGAUUCACAAGCAUAACAAUUCUAGAGGCUUCUGAUGUUUGUACAACCUGGUAUAUGAUUGGAACAUUUUCCUGCCCACUCUCCAUCAAUUCUUUCACUCCCCAACCAAUUUCCAUGACUAGCACUAGAUGUCUAGCAAAUUACAAAUACAAGCAACAGCCCAUUAGCAUUGUAUAGCCCCACAAGGCCACAAUACCUUGAAAGGUAAAAUGCUUUUCAACUUGCAUUGUGCUGCAGAGACUCUUGACUAGAUAGCAGACAUCUAGUAUGUUUUAAAUAAAUGGACUACUCCAGAUAGCAAGAAGCAAUACGUGUAAUCAGUAAUCAAACCGCUCAACUGCCCAGUGCAAACAAGCUUACAACAAUUGGUUAACUCGAAACUAGUACCACAAGAUAUCACGUUAACCAUCCUGACCAGCAAUGUCAACACCACAAAUCAACUUAUCUAGCCAUGGUUACUAGUAGUACUGGAAGCAAUUUCAGAGAAUUUAGUAAAAAAUCAGACAAUUCAGCAAACAUCCAGAGAAUUUAUCAGCGUCACGUUACAAACGCACAGCAGGCCUUCGCGGAAUGCACUAGCAUCACUGUCUCACUGAUACAUCGCUGCACAGCGCAUCGAUUGAACAGGAGAAAACAAAAACCGACGCCUAACAAAUGGAAACGGCAAGCGUAACCGGCGAAUCAGGCGGCACAAUCCGGCGCCGGAAAGCUCGCCCCGGCGGUAGCGGGUCGCGGCGGGCCACGCUUACCCCUGUGUAGGCGUCGAUGGCGGCGCUGAGGCGUUCCUUCCUGAAUAAGGCGUUGCCCUCCUGCUUGAGCCGGUCCGCCUGCCGCUGCGACUCCGCCCCGCUGUCCGCCGGCGCCGGCGCCAUCUCCGGCGGCCCGCACUCGCCUCGCGCUCGUGAGAGGAAGGGGGUGGGCGGGGAGGAGGCGCGAUUUGCUCGUGUGGGAUCGUGGCGUGCGCCUGGCGGCUUCGUUUUUUGGUGGGGAGUGGUGGAAUGGAAGGGAAGAACAAUUGCAAGGGACCCGAGGCGAGGGAGGCGAGGGCCGGGUGGGUGGGGGGACGCGGGGAUGGGUGAUUUUUUGCGAUGGGGUCCCUGGAUUUGACUAUGUGAGGGCUUAAUAGCGAAAAGUAAAUAAGAGACGUGUACGUGCUGAGAGUCUGAGACGUAUGGUAAGUGGUUGAAGGGCUUGAUCACAAAAACCAUCCAUAGCAUGCAAUUCAAUUUGACUACUAUCUAGAAAUAUACAAGUUUCUACAUGGAAUUCACAGCUUAUAGAUGAUGAAACCAACAAGAAAGACAAGUGAGAUGACAUAAAAGGAUUUUGAUGUGAAGUGUACAGGUAGCUUGUAAGCUUGUAUCAUGUAUUGAUGCGUGCAAUUAUCUUUUACUUAUUUGUCAAAAGUUUAACCCCAAUAUACUAAAAUUGCAUACUCGUUGUUCGCAAUUUGAAAUAGUCAUAUUUCAUAGAGUCAUCAUGUGUGGAAGUCUAUUAAAUUGAUAUUUUACCACUGUUGCUUUGCUAUAUUUAUUGAUCAUAUUUCUUUAAUUAUAAUAAACAUCACAUCACUUGUUAUCUUGCAUCAUUUGCUUAGUUGCUUUGAUCAGAGGAUCCAAUUGUUUGCUCUAUUAUUUUUAUCCAUCCUCAAUUCCUUAUUGUACAGGUUACAAAGGGAUUGUCACUACAAUUCAAAUGAUGCAUUCACCUCAUUCAUGUUAAAAUAGCCUACCAGUUUAGUUAAUUUUGACAAAGAAGAUGUAAAGAUAUAUGUAUCCUUUCAAGAACAUUUAAAUUAAACCACCCUUUAUGUAACUAUAUUUUUGUAACAGUAACUACAGUUUUGAUACCGACAUGCUGUAAUUCAAAUCGCAAUUCCAAAUAAACCAGCCAUAUCAAAUUCCACGAAGCACAAGGUGCUUUCGGGACAAAACACAAUCUGUGAAUCGCCAAUUCGCCAUUGCCCGCAAGGCCGCAACGCAUAGGGGAGAACGGAAUCGACCCCUCUCCAGUCUCCACCCGAGCUUGCACAGCAGCGCACGCGGGGAGAGACAUGGCGACGGAAGAGGAGGUGCCGGAGGCGGAGGCGGCGGCGGCGGUGGCGCCCGCGCCAGCUGGUGGAGGCGGGGACGACGCGGAGAUGCCCGACGCCGCCGCGCCCUCGGGCUCCGACUCGGACUCGUCGGACUCCGACGACGAGGGGGCGGGCGGCGUCGACGAGCUCCGCAUCCAGGCCCUAGAGCGGACACUCCAGGAGCAGCCUCUCGACUACGAGACCCACGUGCAGGUACCCUUCGCGCUCCCCAUUCCCCCGCUGCCACGGCUCGCUAGGGUUUUGAGUGGGUUUAGUCGUGGUGUUGGUUCGCGCAUUUGAUGGAAGCUAGUACACUACUAGGGUUGGAAUUAGUGCGUGCCUUUACGCAUUUGAUCCCUUUUGUUAGGCUAGAUAUGCUCAUUAGGCUGUCAAUUUUGGUGCGUGUCAGCUGCAAUGCAGAAAUGGAUUGUUAUUUUUUUCAACAGGUUUAUUACUUUGGUCCUAGAGUAAUUGGGGUUGCUUCCUCAUGUAGAUAGUAGUCAUUCUUAUGCUGCCUUAGAUGGGUGGUCACUGUUAUUUGACAGACUUCCCAUACUAUUUGGUAUUAGCCUGAAUGUUUUGCGUCUGUUGUUGCAGUAUAUCCAGUGUUUGAGGAAGUCAGGCAACAUUGAGAAGCUUCGCGCGGCAAGGGAAGAGAUGAACAAGUACUUCCCUCUUACCCCGAAGAUGUGGCAGGAGUGGGCGAAGGAUGAAAUCUCACUGAGCAUGAGGUUUGUGAUUGUUUUCUCCUUCUUAUGCCUUCCUGAAUUUAUUCGUGUCAUGUGCUGCCUUCCUGAAGUAUUCACGUCGUGCAGUCUGCACUUCAGAUUCAUGGAAAACUGAGUUUCAUUCUGUGGUUUUGUUUGUCUGUCUUGGUUGUUUUGUCACAGUGAGGAAUCUUUCGCUGAUAUUGAAAAGCUAUAUGAGCGUGGGGUGCAAGAAUACCUGGUAUGUUGAAUUGUUCUUAUGAUAUUGUAUUUAAACUAUUGAGCUUGAGCAUCUGGUUGUGGAGUGCUAACUUACUGUGGUGAUCAUUACACUGCAGUCCAUUAAGUUAUGGCGGGAUUACCUUGACUAUGUCGAAGAGCAUGAUCCAUCAGUGUCUCAAUGUACAACGUCUGGCCUCUCCAAGAUGAGAGAUUUGUUCGAGCGAGCCAUCACUGCAGGGGGGCUGCAUGUUACUGAGGGCAGCAAACUGUGGGCAGCUUAUAGAGAAUACGAGAUGGCAAUUUUGAUCACCAUCAGUGAUGACAAUGAUGAGGAAAGGGCAAAGCAAGUUCAGCGUAUACGCAUGCUAUUCCACCGCCAGUUAUCUGUUCCUUUGGCUGAGAUGGAAUCUACACUUUCUGAGUAUAAGAUCUGGGAAGCCGAGCAAGGGAAUGAAAAUGAUCCAGGUUCCAAUUUUGAUGGUGUCCCCUCAAAUGUCGUAUCUGCUUACAAAAAGGCCAAUGAUAUGUACAAUGAAAGGAAGCAAUAUGAGGAUCAACUAAGCAAUGCAGGCGCAUCUGAAGCUGACAAACUGCAGGAGUUUCUGGUAUGCUUAACAUAAUUUAUGACCUUACAAUGCUGAACUUAAAUCUUGUUUAAAUUCAUCCUUCUAGGGCUAGGCUUGUACUAUUUACUUGAGAAUUGAGAUGCACUCCUAUUAUUGUGUCAACGUUUAGGAUAUUUUUCAUAUUAGGCCUAUCUGUGACUCUGAGCUGCUCUCCUGCUUCAAGUUUGUGGUGAAAAUUUACAUCUUUGUUGAAAAGCUCUUUGUUUGAUUUCUCUCUUUUUUUACACAAUUUCUCUCCUUUUGGUUGGUUUAACUGAAAGUUAUAGAAUUACAGUUCCAUUUGAUGACCUUGCCAGAAAAAAAACAUUUUGUUCGUCAGUUCUGUCCUUUGAAUUCCUGUUUCUGUAUUCCAGCAUUUUUAUCUGUGGCUCUGCUCAGUUAGUACUCCGUAACUUUUAAAGGAAAAUCUUACUCCCUCUGUUUGAAAAUGUAGGUCGUUUUGGCUUUUCUUGAUACAUAGAUAUUGCUAUGCACCUAAAUAUAGUGUUAUGUCUAGAUACAUAGCAGAAAAGCCAAAAUGACCUACAUUUUGGAACAGAGGGAGUAUUUGGAAACCAAAACAGAAUCUAUAUGUUCCCGUUAUAUUCUGUAUAUCACAAUGUGAGUUCAUAGGUUGUUUGCCACCUUUCAGUCUUCCCAAGCUUAUGUUUCAUGUGAUGCUUAUUCUUUCUUUUCCAACAAAAGGGGUGCCAUCUCACCAUAUCCAUUACCUUUUACUGACAAUAUUCUUGUUCUUUGCUAACUCAAUGUCACUUAUUUGUAUAUGAAACAGAAAUAUCUCAAAUUUGAAGAAUCGUCUGGUGACCCUGCUCGUGUUCAAGUUCUGUACGAACGAGCUGUUUCAGAGCUGCCUGUUUCAACCGAUGUAUGGAUAGGAUACACGAGCUACCUGGAUAGAACCUUGAAGGUCCUUUUAGAAACUUGUUUGGCAAUACAUGUCGAUUCAAUCGUGAUAUUCUCUCUUUAAUAUCAAGAGAUGCCUUUUUUCUCUGCAGGUGCCUUCUGUACUAAGAAGUGUUUAUCACAGAGCCACAAGAAACUGUACAUGGGUUGGUGAGCUAUGGGUCCAUUAUCUCUUGUCUUUGGAGCGGGUUCGUGCUUCUGAAGAAGAACUACGCAAUGUAAGUUUCUUACUUCUCUCUUUUGACAUGUAGUUGGAGAUUUUGCAUAUUAGAUUCUGUAGAUCUUCUAUGUAUGCGAAGUAGAUGGCAAUGUUAGGUCUGGCACCAUGGUUCCUUAAGAUAAGCUGAUUAUAAUCCUGUAUAGUUUCUGUUCACCUUCUUAGCAGCUAACUGCACGGCAUGGUGGCACAUGCAACAGUAUGAAUUGUAUGUAGUUAAAUAUUUGCAUGUUUAUUAGCUAGCUGUAGAUGUGUGUUACUGUUAUGUAUUGGAAGUCCUGUUAUACGUUGACGGAGAGCAUAAUGUCAUUGAUAUAAUUCUCUUCUCAUUCGACUAUCUACUAUCUGUUUCAAAAUAUCCUAAAGCAUCCUGGUAAGCAGCCAACUGAGCACAUUCUGAUAAAACUGAAUAUCAUGAGUGUCUAAUGUGUCCACUGCAUUUCUUUUUGCCAUUUGCCUUACUUUUUUGGUAGUUUUGGAAGAUUGUUAUUAAGCUUCGCCUGUUUCUUUUAUGUAUAUUGGGAGCUAAAGAUAUAUAUGUGCUUGUACAUUUCAGGUAUUUGAACGGGCAGUACAGUGUUCUUUUCCAACCAUACAAGAGGUUAGAAUGAAUCAUGUUGUUUUAGUUUGGUUACUUUCUGGGUAAAAACCAGAGCAUCCAUUUUAAGAAUUUUUUCUGGUCAAUUCUUGUUAACUGUUCUGGUGGGAUGCAGAUUCUCAUUUAGUUUUUAUUUGGAUGGCUGAACUGCUGCAGUAUCUCAAUAUUUAUCUCACUCGAGUUCAUAGUCUAAGACGGAGGAUUUCAGAUGGGUUGGAUUUCCAGCUGAUCAGGCAGACAUUCAAGGUACAUCUUCUCUAUCACCUCACCAUUUACGUGCAUUUUCUUAAUUUUACUAUAAUUAAUGGGAUAUAAUAUCAGAAUGCUGCAGAAUUUCUCUCACCUCAACUGGGAACCAAGGAGUUACUGCACUUGAAUGCUUAUUGGGCCAAAUUAGAGCGCAGUCUUGGCAAAGAUCUUUCUGCAGCUCGUGUCGUUUGGGAAAACGCUAUCAAAAAAAGGUUUAGUUUUUUGCUUUAUGCAAAUUCAUAAAUGUUUCUUUUUACUGGCUACGUGCGGACCCUUAAAUCUGUCACUAUUUUUCCAGUGGCUCUGUUUUGGAAGUUUGGCAGCAGUACAUUUCAAUGGAGGUAGAAAUGGGACAUAUACAUGAGGCGAGAUCGCUUUAUAAGCGCUGUUAUAGCAAAAGAUUUGCUGGGUCUGGAUCAGAGGUAAGCUCUUCUCAAACAAGCAUCCGAACAUCUCUUUCUUCCUGCUAUCAUGACCUGCAAAGUUGCAAACUUGCUGAUGUACUCUUGUUGCUGCCUGUGAGCCAGAGUCUUAAAUACUAGCUUAAUCAGUUAAUUGCCUCAGUUUAUUUUUGUGAAUACCAUCAUUGUUAGUAUUUUGAUAUGAUAAAUCUCAUGAAUACUGAUGAUUUAAUUUUCAACGUUAUGAUCUUAAACUUACUAGGACAUAUGUCAUGCAUGGAUAAGAUUUGAAGAGGAGCAUGGCACCUUGGAUGAUUAUGACCUUGCUGUAAAAAAGGUAUGCUGCUGGCUGCUAGAUGUUUUUCUAUUUCACCUGUUCAUUAGGCUUUCUGCUGAGUGUGAAUUGGAAUUAUUUUUUCUGGGGAACAAAAAAAUUGGUUUGACGUCCACUUCUUGCUCCUUCAGCAUUAUCUUUGUGUAUGUGAGUGAAUGCUCCUUCAGUUGGUCAUACUCCAUAAAAAAGAGCAACUGAUAAUAUCUGCCAAACCAAUCUAUUCAUUAAUAACCAAGAGUAUACCAUAAGUUUCUGAAGAUUCCUGGUUACUUCUACAUAAAGUUGAUAACUCAUGAAAGCUUUUGACAUUGUUCGUAUUUUAAUGUGAUUAAAUCCUCUGUGCAAUCAUCAGAUGUUGACGCCUUGCGUGUUAUUUAAUAUUUCAGGGGUUAAAGUGUUAGACAUGCUGAGUUGAUAUCUAUUCAACUGUAUACGGUGUUUCUAUCUGAACUGUAUGAGCUAGGUGAUAGCAUGGGUUCCCGAUUUAUCAUAUUAACUACAGUUUUGAACUUGUUCUCCUCCCAUUUGACCAGGUCACCCCUCGGCUAAAGGAGCUUAUGGUGUUCAAGUCUCAAGAGGAGGCUAAAGUCGAGGCUUACUCUAUGCUCAAUGAUAAUUCUAAUGCAGAUGACUCUUCUCAGAAAAGAAAAGCAAGUAAAAUGACCAAUAAACAGCAGCCCCCUGCUAAGAAAAGGAAAGAGAAUCCACCAAAAAGUGUCAAGUCAUCAGACGACCAAGAAAAGACCCAAAGUGGACAUAGUGGUGCUGUUACUGCUGUAGAGGUUGGAGAGGCAUCCACAGAAAUGAAAGUGGACAGCAACUGCCGAACAGGGAAUACAGGUUCAAAUGAACCAAAACCAUCCUUCUACAAUGACAAGUGCACAGUAUUUGUCUCAAAUAUAGACUUGAAGGUAUGUCAUUUUUCAUUUUUUUUGAUGCAUGUAGCUCCUGAAAUUUAAUUAACCAACUCGUUACCCUCUCUCUGUAGGCAACUGAGGAUGACCUUCGCCGGUUCUUCUCUGACAUUGGUGGUGCCACAGCAAUAAGAUUGCUGAAGGACAAAUUCACCAAAAAGUCAAGGGUAUGUGUUACACUUAUUCUUAUAAUAAUGUUUUUGUCUCUUGGGUUCCAUAGUGUAAAUAAUAGCUUGUUUGUUGAAUUCUGUACAUAGCAUCAUUACACUAUAAAAUAAGGCAUUAGUAGAUUAUGCUUGCUCCUGGAUUAGUUCACUAGAUGUUCUUGUAGUUUUUAUUUCUUAGGCUGAAACUACAAUGUUAGGUUGAAGAGGCACGCAUGACAUCUCAAAGUGCAUAUUUGAAUGCACGUGACGCCACACUCUGCCCAAAAACUACUCCUAUGACCUAUCCUUCUCCAGCUUCAUGAUUCCCCACUACUACAAUGUCCAGCCUCCUGACGAGCCACCCAGGCAGAGCCCCUUUCCUGCCAAUGAUGAGUAAGGCAUGGGGCUGUGCUCACUAAGAAAUACACUAGAUGCUCCAGUAGUUCCUUGAUACAAAGUGCAAACUGAGUUUGCCACUAAGUAUACGUGUAUUCAUGGAAAUUAGUGACUCUAGUGGACUUUUAUGUUUUCGCUAUUUUGGCACUGUAUUUCCCAAACGUUUGAUACUAUUGGAGUGUUAGGAAGAAAUGUUUUUCUUCAAAUAGUCGUCGGGCUCAGAACAUAUGCAAACUAAAGUGCCAUCAUCCUGUUGCUUUUGGCAUUAUGCAAAUUGGUAUUAUGUUCAGAGAAUAUUUGUCUCUGUGUUUUAAGAUAAUUACUACAGAAUUUGGAUUUCAUUUUUCAUUGAUUUGUUUUUCCUUAAUAUUUUUGCAGGGGUUGGCCUAUGUGGACUUUUCAGACAACAAGCAUCUUGAGGCAGCCCUUCAGAAAAACAAGCAUAGGUUGCUUGGAAAGAAAGUGAGUAUCGCUCGAUCAGAUCCAAGCAGGAGUAAGAAGAGCCGUGAGGCAGGUCCUUCCUCCAAAGGCUACGGUAUGUUCUUUGACCAGUUGACGACAUUUUCUUUUUGACUGUUGUCCUAUUUGAAAAUUGCAUCAACAGAUCAACCUAAAGCUAUACCGAUAAGGGCAAGAAUUUUAGAACCCCAUAUUGCACUUGGAUAGUGGAGACUGGCACUCGCUUAUUAUCACAUUCAACACCUGGUCUUUUCUGUUUUGGACCAAAACUAGUUUAUAAGAUUUUGGGUGGAAACCACGAGUCAAGUGGAAUCUUGGAAGCUACACUGUAAAGUAUAUGCUGAAGUUUUGAAAAAAAAACUCAAAAAACAAAAGUCAACCACACAGUUUCAGAUUAAACUGCACACAUGCUUUUUUUUAGUAGAUCUUCUGUACAUGUGCAUAAGACUAGAACUAGAGAUCUGCAUCACUUUUGCAUGUUAAUCGUGACUGAUGUUAUGGGGUACAUCUACAUAGCACCUAUCUGAUUUUUGCAAAUUAUCUUCUUUCUGCAGAUAACUUGCCUCAGAGUGGUGAUGAUGGUGCAAAAGCACCUGGAUCCAGUAGACCAGAAAAAGAAGUACCCAAAGGUGAUGUGAAAAUCACAGGGAAGAACACUGCUUUUGCACCACGAUCUGUGGUUAAACCUCUUGGGUGGACUACCAAGGAUGAGAAGCCAGAUGGUGGUGCAGGAGAGUUGAAAUCAAACGAGGAGUUCAGAAAUCUGUUGCUUAAGAAGUGAUGUUAGUAGGCAGGUUAGUACUUUAUCAUCUUUACAGUAGAUGUCCAAGCUAGUGUCUGUACAACCACCACCCCACGCACAUAUUUCUGGGCCCGCGAUGUAUGUUUCAGCGCUUAGCUCUUGUUGCCUGCUUUAGGCUUUGAAGAAACUUUAUACAGGAUCCUGCAAUUCUGUUUGUUUCCUCAGCUGCAAAUUUUAAGUACCUGGCACAUGACAAUAUUUUAGUACUAUGUUUCAAACAUCCGCAACCCGCCACUGUAUAUCACUGAUUUUUGUUGGAUGAGUCAACUCAUAGCUGCUUGCAAUGUGUGCAGGCGCGUGGAUCUCCAUGCCCCAUCCAGCUUGAUCUGUUUAGAUUUCCAGUGGUUUCAUGAUUAUGUUAGACCGACUUCUACCACUUCAACUAGGAAAUCGAGGACAAUGAGCACCUUGGAAAUUCAGAAUCAUUGGCCAGGAGCAAUGGAUAUGAAAUCGAGGACAAUUAGCAUCUUGGAAUUGAGAAUCAUGGCCAUGAGCCAUGGAUAUUUCUGUUAAUCGAGGGAGGUUAUAUGCCAUGUAGAAACUAGUCCUUUGCAGGGAAUUAUGUGCGGUUGCGUCCGAGCAGAAAAACCCCGACCAUGUAAAGCAAAAACAGCGAUCUUAAGAUAUUACGUUUGUUUUUAGUAUUUUUGGUAGAAUGUUCAAACUUACUGUCUCUCUGGCUGCUAAAAAUGUUUAAACUUGUAUUCCCUUCGUUUUAAAAUGUAGGUCGUUUUGACUUUUCUAAGUGCAUAGAUUAUGCUAGGUACCUAAGUAAAAUCUAUUUAUCUAGAAAACUCAAAAUGACAUACAUUUUGGAAUGAAGUGAGUAACUAUUUAUUUAGUGUUAGGCAUUAUCUUUUCAGCUCAGCAGUCCAACAGAGCUUUGCCUGCAUCUUGAUAGAACUGAAACUGAUUGCCGAAGAGUAAGGGAACUUAUUGGCUAAAAUAGUCAAAGGUGGCCGGUGAAAGUUACAUUUUGUUGUUGAUUUUGGCAAAAAAAAAUUAACAUAAUAUGCUUUUUUAGAACAGGCGUGCUCUAAAGUAAAACCAUGCGCGUUUGAGAUCCUGAAAAAAGCUGCUUGCUGGUACGAAGAGUUGUAAAGAAAUCAGAUUGAGAUAUUUGCACACUGAUGUUGGUGAAUAUAAGACAUUAACACAAUUAUUUCCAUCUGAAGACGUUCCUUGAAACUCAGAUAAAUUUCAACGAAAGCCAUCACAUCACAGCAGCCUUCCCAAUCACAUGACACCAUUGAGAUCAAAUGAUUAUACGCUAAAAAAUUAUCCACCACGCAUGCCAACUUUUAUUAAUGCCCCGGGCGAAAACCAUGUUCUUCUCUCACACCGCACACACCACACUGAGCUAAAUUAACCCACACGAGAACACCAGCCAUCUAAGAAUUAAGAAGAGCAGCUAACAAUCUCCUAAUGAUAUCGAAUUCAAAUGAUGACGUCGAGGGGCGACGAAGGCGGCGCGGUGGAGGCCGCGGCGGCGCUGGCGUCUAGUUGCCCUUGGCGAUGAGCUCAUGGGCGGCCGCGACGGUGGGCAGCGCCGGGAUGGCGCCCUUCUGGGUGGUGCAGAUGGCGCCGCAGGCGUUGGAGAACUUGAGCGCCUCGCGGAGCUUCUCCUCGUUCUGAAAGGAAGGAUUAACACCAACGACAUGAUUAGUAAAGACACUUGAUUAAACAGAGAGAUGCUACUAAUCUUGUUACGCAGAUCAAUCGAUGAGGAAUCAUACGUGGAAGAUGGAGUCGUCCUUGGCGACGUUGACGAGGAGAGAGCCGACGAAGGCAUCACCGGCGCCGGUGGUGUCAAUGGUGUUCACCUUGUAGCCGGGAACGCUGCCCUUGAAGUCCUGCAAUGAGACACAGCGACCAUGUUAAUUUCUUGCAAGAAUUAACCUUCGUACCAAAUUGGACGACAGUGCAAGUUAAAAACACACACAAAAAAAAUCGAACCUUGGUGAAGUAUCUGCACCCCUUGUCGCCGUCGGUGACGAUGAGGAGCUUGAGGCCAUCGAACCAGAGCGAGAGCACGUUCUUCUCGUCGUUGGCAUCACCCUGUGUGAGGAAGGCGACCUCAUCAUCGCUGACCUUGAUGAAAUCAGCCUCCUUCCAGAUGCUGAGGAUGCCGGCUCUUGCGGCCUCCUCGGACGGCCAGAGCGGGAGGCGGACGUUGGGGUCGUAGGAGCAGAGGAUGCCGGCGGCCUUGGCGGCGCGCAUGGCGGCCAUGUGCGCGGAGCGGCACGGCUCGGAGAUGAGCGAGAUGGAGCCGUAGUGGAAGAUCUUGGCGCGGCGGAUGAGGUCCAGGUUGAGCUCGGCCUCGGUGAGCAGCAUGUCGGCGCUGGGGUUGCGGUAGAACAUGAACUCGCGCUCGCCGUUCUUCUUGAGGGUAACGAAGGCCAGCGCCGUGCGCGCGUGCUGGUCGAACAGGCAGCCCUCCGAGUUGACGCCGUUCUGCUUCAGGAUGUUCACCAGCAUGUGCCCGAACUCGUCGUCGCCGAACUGCAGCCAUGGAACAGAGCAGGGGAUCAGCAAAUGCAGCUUCAGGUUGAGUUCAAAUGAUUUUUUUUGUUAAACUGGGAUACUAAUUAGUUGCCUUUCUUAAUUGCAGACGUCAUGUCCAUAUCGGAGCAGUUGUAUACACAGUAGUAAUGCUUAAUCUUAAAGCAAUUAACAAAUGAAACGAAUGAGAAGAUGGUUUUGCAGUGCUUAAACAAUUGCAGAUUGAGUAAGAAAAAGCAUCAUGUGACGGUGAGGGCUAACUAAUGGAACGUUGUUGCUAUAUGGCAGGCUGGGUGUUCUUGGAUGAUCCGACGGCAAGGCGACCCCAACCGCCACUAACCGACGGGUCGGUGUCAGAUCCGAGUCAGCCGGGCCCCGCGGGGCACUGAAACACAUCGUAACCCCAGAGGUCAAUAACGUAACAAGAUUUGUACAAUAAAAAUAACGUAACCGGGCGUGACCCCAAAGGCCAGAGCACAGGUUGCGACCCCUACGCCACACAGGUAGCUGAGGUGAGCUCAGUGAGGCCCAAAACCACUUUCAACGGCGCGCAGCAAACACGUGAUGGGCCCCACGUGCCGCUACAGAAAAUCUUACCACUAGAUUACCUUUUUGCAAAUUGUUAGCAUAUAAUUCCAACAUAUAAAAAUGCCACUAGCACCAACCAAAUUGAUGGACGCUACAAUUCAAUUGCUAGCACUACUAUUUUUUCUUGUUUUCCUUAAAAAGGAGGACAAAACAAAACACAUGGUAUAAUACGUCAAAAAUUUGAAUAAUGUACAGCAGUAAAGUAAAGCGAGCCGGCGGAAGUAAGCGGCGGAAAAUAGCAAAAGGGCGUGAGGUCACGCGGCGACAAGAACAAACAAGUCGCUUGUCGCGCGCCACCCGCUCCAUGCAAAGCAAAACAAAACACAGACCCCUCCAAGACCCCAGCUGCAGCUGCACUAUAGUGGCGUCCGUCAAAUGAUGCGCAGGCAGCUGCAAAGAUUUUCCUAACCACAAAUAGGAUGGACAAGAAUAAUCAUGCGCUUCAAAGUGGCAUCACAUCGUGUCAUCCAUCACCAGAAGGAAAAAAAAACGUACUACAACGAUCGUGACGCAUCUGCAAGCAAUUGCCAGUCAACGCCCGCCCCGCCCCGGCACAAGGCGAUCAGUCCAGGACGCACUGCCGCGGCGGUCGCCGGAUCUCGCGGAUCCAGAUCCCGCUCCCCGCGCGGAUCGUGAGAUCACCCACCCACCCACCGGAUCAGCCGCAUCUGAGCAAGCUGCUGACCAACCAAACCGAAACCCCGGGCCGCCGGAUCCAGGCGCGAGCACGAGGCCGGCCGGCCGGCCGGCGGAUCCGUACGGACAAUCCGGUGGAAGUAAUGCGAACGAAUUGGCAACAGCAGAUGAUACGGAUGACGGGAAUGAGUAGUAUUAUUACCUUGCCAAGGAAAGCGGAUGCGCCGCCGAGCUUGGAGACGGCGCAAGCGACGUUGGCGGGUGCGCCGCCGGGAGCCUUGACGAACCCUCCCGACUCGGCGAGCGAGAGCCCCGCGACGUCGGGGACGAAGUCGAUGAGCAUCUCGCCGAAGGACACCACGAGGUUCGCCGACGACGCGGCGGCGGCGGCUCCAUCUCCCAGCGGGGCCAUUGAUGGCUGCACGAACGAAACGAACGAAGGCGACGAAACGAGCUGGACGGAGAGAAAGCGAGAGGCUUGCUGUUUGCUUGUUGUGGAGGACGGAGGAGGGGAGGCCCUUGGCUGAGUUUAUAAAGGGGAGGGGGAGCCUGUUGGCUUGGGAGAGGGAUUAGGAUUAGGAUUAGUGGUUAUUAACAGCGAUUAUUAUCCGAUCCGGUUAUUCGAGCCCGCCUGGUUCUGCUCUGCUUACACGUCGGACAACAAACUGCACUCGGAGCUGGAUCGCACAAAGAGCCAGACGUGUGGGGCCGUGGUUGGCCGCGGACCCACCGCGCCGGGGCGGGCGCGGUCGGUACGUUUGAAUCUGCUGGGUCGGUGGGCCCGCGUGCCGGUGCGGGCGAGUUGGAUUUGGAUCAGGCUACAGCAGCAGCCAGCACCCAGCAGGCCUUCGCAGCAGUCUCGCGGAGGCCGGACGCUUGAUUUCUCUCGUCGUCCGGUGCGGUAGCGUGGGGCCACCUGUCGGUGGGCGCGACCGAUCUGCCUGAUCAGGUCUCGACUACGCUCCCAAACCGCACGGCCGCGAGCUUGCGAUCCUCCCUCCUUCCCCUUCCCCUAAUCCUAUCCGAUCUGCACGCGGUAAUUAUCUCCGGCUCCAAGUAGAGUAGUAGCUAUCUACCCGCGCGUUAGGAUUUACAUUUACCUACCCGGCUAUUAUUCUUGCGGUGUAAGGUCAUUCUCAGUGGGAAUUUCAGUGCGUAGUACGGGUUGUUUUGUUGUUCACAGCUAGUAGCUAGCUAGCUAUUCGUAUGCUGUUGCUGCUGCUGCUGCUGCUGCAUCGAGAUCUGGGCUGAGCUGGCGCUGGCGGUGCCGUCGUCUUUGUUUGAGUCCGCAGCAAGCAAAGUGCCUCUGGCCUCUGCUCUGCAAUCUGGUGUGGUGGUUUGGACCAAACCAUCAAUCAAUACCGUCGGCUCCUGCUGUUAGUUGCACUGGUAGUGUUUAUUUAAGGGGUGUCUGGAUACACCGUCCUAAACUUCAGUACCUGUCAUAUUGGAUGUUUGGAUAAUAAUUAGGAGUAUUAAAUAUAGUCUAAUUACAAAACUAAUUGCACGUAUGGAGUUUAAUUCGCGAGAUGAAUCUAUUAAGCCUAAUUAGUCCAUGAUUUGACAAUGUAGUGCUACAGUAAUCAUUUGCUAAUGAUGGAUUAAUUAGGCUUAAUAGAUUCGUCUCGCGAAUUAGUACAAGGGUUCUGCAGUUAGUUUUAUAAUUAGCUCAUGUUUAGUCCUCAUAAUUAGCGUUCGAACAUCCGAUAUGACCCUCCUAAAAUUUAACACAUCAUAUCCAAACACCACCUGUUCAUUCCCAAACCAAAUCAGAUUCAGAUCUCAUCCGAUCGCGCCGGCAACAACGAACGACAUGAUGGGCCAACGUACCAGCGCGAGCUGCACCGCCUCUAUCUCUGCAUUGCAAUCCAUCUGCCCACAAACUUAUUAUCCAAGAAAAACGUGCAGAUAAAGACUUUUCCUCUCUCUCUUUUUUGGCAACGAAAGAUAUACCGUAAUCUAUUAAUAAUUAAUAAAUGUGAACUGAAUAGCCUUUUUUUUGGGUGCGUAAAUAAAUAAAUAAAUCUCCACGUUAAUUAACAUAUCGUGAGGAAGUGAGGUUUUGCGCAGAUAAUAUUCGAUCUCCACGUACGAGUAACGUGCACGAGCGUGCGUUCCUGGAUUCCCGAAUGGGGUUCCAUACUUCCAUUUCGAUCGAGUUGGGUGUCAGCGAGGUGCGCGAUAACAGUUUUCUUUUUUUUAAAAAAAGGAGUUGGUGCUUGUCAAUUCCAUCACGAGGAGGCGUAAUGUUUGUGUGCGCCUUUUCCCCAUCAUGCAUCCAUAAGUCCAUAACACCCGGAGCCUAAAGCACCCGCACAAUAGGCGAUCAAAAUUACACGAGGGUCACAUAUUUUUGGCGACUUUGGGCAUAAAAAAAGCACUACGCAGGUGCGGCAGCGGAUGUGGCACGCACGCCACAAACUGGGCUGAUGUUCGGCGCCGAGCGCUAGACCUUGAGCGUGUGGGUCAACCAAACACGGGGGAAAUUUUUUUUAUUUUUUUACAAUUUUGCAGAAAUAAAUAGUCGAACCAAAAAUUUGUAAACAUGAACCUAUGCCGCCGGACCAAACGGCGGUAGAGUUCCUUUCGCCGGACCAAACGGCGGUAGGGGUUCCUUUCGCCGGUUAAAACGACGGAAGGGUGCCGGCUAGCACGUGCAGCCGUGUUUCGCCGGCUGAAACAGCGGUAUGGGCCUUACCGCUGUUUCCUACGGCGGUAGGCGGCCUACCACCGUUUUAGGUGGGGGUAAGUGCUUACAACCGGUUGGGGAUGCUAUAACCGAUUGAAAUGGCUAUAAGUACCUUUAGCUAUUUCAACUGGCUAUAACUCCAUUUUAAUUAUUUUUCCUUCAUUUUUUAUGACAUUUAUGAAUCUAAAUUAUAUACUUCCAUUGCAAUAUGUAACUUCAUAAUUUGAGGCUAUACCUCCGUUUCAAAUAUUGUUCCUUUAAUUUUUUAUGAUAUUUUUGGAAGUAAAAUAUGUAAAUUCGUAAUUUGAGAGAGGUAGAGUGAUUGAACGAAAUAAUUGAAAAUGAUUUAACUCCCGGCCUAGAUAAAGUAGUCUGCGGAUGACCACACAUCGUACGCUAUACAAUCGUACAUAUGAAAGCGUGCAUCGACGUAAAAAAUAAAAGAGGUCCUACACACUAAAUGCGUCCUUGCUUGAAACGAGGCUCACCGCGACCACGCCUCGUUGCCCACUACGCAGCUCUGGUUUAGAACUGGUCAUACGUCAAGGGCUCCCGUGGGGCAACGUCAUGAGGCGGACGUCCUGCUACAGCCGCAGGUGGUGUCGCGAAGUCCUGGGUCGCGCCCUAUGUAGGAGCCUCCGGGGCGUCACGCAACUGCGAAGCAUCGAUCACAUCAGGCUCGGGUCUCAACAUUUCGUCCACCCAAGUAUGGACACUGGACCUCUGUCCCUCCUCCUUGAGGGAGUCCUCCGAAACCCUCCACGAUAUGCAAACCCUGUCAUGCAACCAACGAAAUGGUAUUGUUAGUUUCGUUGCGUAUUUAAAAUAGAAUAGAAUAUAUGUAUUCAUCAUGCACCAUAGUGGUGUAGCUCUGUACCUGGUGCAGCAGAAGAGGGCCCUGCUCCACUAUAAGCUUUGUACAUAUGCGGGGGUGUGUUAAGAAAUUAUUAGUUAGUAAGGUUAAUUGGACAACAUUUUGUCAAUGGUGUAUGACAAAAUAACGUUCACUUACCUGUCGGGGUCAGGUAACGCGGAACAAUGGACGGGCUGGAGGGGGCAUACCAAAACGGCGGUGGUGCCGGUGUGGCCUAGGACGGCUCGGCCGCUGGUGCAUGUGCCUGUGGUGCGGUACAGGGGUCGGGGAACGGCGGACGAACGGGUGGCUGAGAGGACGUACCGGCCUGGUGGGUAGGAGGUGGAGAGGACGAAUGAGGGUAGGCAGCCCAUGGUAGAAGCACGAUAUCCCCGCGAUCGCCACGGCAGCUGACGGCCCUCAGGAACCUAUUGCGGGCGCCUAAGGCCCUCUUGUACGGUGUCUCGUGCUGAUGAUUAGUCAGCUGCUGAAAGUGCUCGAUGCCGUACAUCAGCUCAGUGGCUACCUCUGCAGUAACGUCGUACUUUUGGGAAGAGGACAGGGUUGAAGUUAGCCACACCACAUGAUGCAAGUUGAGUAACAAAAAUGAUGAAGAAGCUUACCGCGAUAUCGAAGUUGACAUCCCUCGAGCGCGGGUACGUCUGCAUGAUAGGCGCGGUCUCCAUCGAUGGCUGACUCGCAACGUACGUGACCCGUGUCCUGGUCCUUGGCAAGAACCCUCGAAGGUAUGCUGCGAAUGCAUCAUCAUCGUGCGCACGGUCCUCCUGCACCACCUCAUCUAAAGCGGUCGUCCACAUCUUGACCCACUGAAGCAUCCUCGGAGCCCACUAGACCCCCAGCCCACCACCACCACCACCACC
This 65361-nucleotide long non-coding RNA is filed under the name Setaria italica (foxtail millet). RNAcentral's name for it is "long non-coding RNA (SITA_LNC004385)". Lineage: Eukaryota; Viridiplantae; Streptophyta; Magnoliopsida; Poales; Poaceae. The record is from RNAcentral.